GGCUGUGGAGGUUUCACAUGUAAAGGAGCAACAACAUGCGUAUUGAAUAAGCUUUGAUACAGCUCCUUGUACGACAUUAAAAUUGGCGUGAACUGGAGCUUUUCAGUACCUGGCUUCACAUAUGAUUCUUGCUUUAAAGGAACUUGAUGGCUGGUGGUUUCUGUCUUUAACCGGCCCACAAUGAUUGGUCUUGAGUGGCCCUUGUUAUAUCUACCUUCAUUUUUCCCCUUAUUCCCUUUCUUCCUUGAGGCUUUUAUAGUAUCUGGGUGCUCUACCUUCACCUGUUUUAUUUCUGAUGAAUUGUCAAGAGCAACAGGAUUGGAUUUUGAGUUUGUCAGGUGAUAUACUAGUGUCGAUGUACCAGUCAGAUAUUGUCAGGAUCUGAUAGUAAAGAGUGCCUCUUGUGGACAUGCGUCUGGUUGGGCUGGACACUUAUCAAGGUAAAAUCUGAAGAAUAUAUAGGGUCCUCAUUAUCAUCCCUAAAGUGAGCCUCUAGGCUUUUCCCUUUACUCAAUAACUAGGUUAGCUGGCUCAUAUUUAUUUGGAAUUCUGGCAUCUGAUUCCUCAUUUCUUGUUAAAAUUCAGUCAAUUGCUCUUGCAUCUGUAUUUGCAUUUGCUUUAUUCUCUCCAAUCUUUAGUCCAUGCCUUCUAACUUUGCUUGGGUACUAUAAUGGUGUUCGGUUGAUUGGUUGGUUUCCAGAUUAACUGAGGAAUGAUGUAAAUUAAUUAGAAUCUUUUAAUGUUUUUAAAUGCAUAUGAAGUAAUGCAAUGCAUGAAUGCAAAAAGACGUCAAUUUUGAUUCAAUUCCAUAUAAGAAAACCUUACUAGAAAGCAAAUUUUUUUACAUAAAGCGAAUUACAAGUAAGACUUUGCCCUAGUACCCAGAACUCUGAUCUUCCUAAGUAACAAAACUAAUUCUUGCCCCCGAUCCGAUUCUAAUUCAUACUUCAUACUCAGCAUGUCAGCCUGUACUGCUAAAAUCUGUACGUAAUCAGCUACUUCUCGAAUCUAGACUACAGCUUCCUUCAUAAGAUAAUCUCUGCUCCUAACUUGACUCUGAAAAUGGUGGAGCUGUUCAUUAUUACUACUUUCGUUUGCGUUCAAGUGCUUGAUCUGGAUCUCACAAUUUUGCAGAACCGUUUCUAGCUCUUCCAAGGAAUGCACUUGUUGUCCCUCUUUUGCUUAACUGGUGCAGCGACCCACUACUCACUCAUCCCUGUUAUACCUAUCAGCUUCUUUGAAAAGGUUGGCACAUUUACCGUUCUCGAGUAAACUCUAUCCACUUGAAACUUUGAACAUCGGAGUAAAGCCACAUAUUUUUCUAUCGUAGGUACCAAAUCGACAUUCCCAAAUGUGAAGCAAUUGUAAGCAGGAUUCCAAAACUGGGCGAGGGCUCGAAACAAAUGUUUGUCUACCUUCACAUCAAGCAAAUAAGGCAAGUCCCCAUAAUUGUCGUAAAAUAACUGCCUAGCCUCAUUAUUCCAUUGAUUCCAAAUUUCUUUCAACUCCUGCAAAUUGUUUUGAGUUACACUGAUGCGAGUAAAAUCUCAUAAUUCCGAUACAUACCCAUCGGCCAGGCUAUCACCCUUUUCUUGCUGUGUUGUUUCAGACCAAGUUCGGACAGCCGCAUUGUCCUCCACUUUAUCAAGAAACCCUUUUUCCAUGUCAAGCUUUCUAUCUAGCAACCGAAUCUGAACUGUCGCCUUUUAUGAUGAAAUGAAAUGCCAUGUCAUGUCAUGUCAUGCAAACAAAAUAAAACACAAAAGGUCAGUGUCAUAUAAUAAUAUAAAAUAUAAUCAAGAAACAGUAAAACACCUAAUCGGAUGUCUACUAGGGUUCAGUAUAGUUCUACCUAGGGUGGAUUCCUAAGGUUCAUUAUAUGAAGUUUUGCUUCUAGGGUAAAGGUACCCGAACCAGCAGAUUCCUCCAUCCUCACCCAUUAUAGGCUCAUAUGGAUCGAGUUCGGUUCAGGGGAAUUCAUUUCCCUAUGGCUGCACGGAGAUGAAAAUCUCACGAAGACAUAGGUACGGAUGUAUCCUGGAAGCAAUCCACAACCCUACACGGAGGUGAAAACCUCACGAAGGCAUAGCUUCUCACUCCCACUUAAAAGGGUAAAAAUGUUCAACUCAUGAAAUGCAUAAUGCAAACAAUAUUUAAGGAAUAUGAUAAUGAAUGCGAAAUGAUGUUAUGAUUUUUUUAAAAAAAUAUUUUUCUCGACCGUAAGACAAAAAUUAAUCAACUUUGUGGCUCGACUCUCUUCUUUUUUUUAAAAAAAAUCUCCCUAGUGGAGUCGCCAAGCUGUCGAAACCAUUUUUUUGAAAACAAAAAAUUUAGGUUGUCGACUCUAAAAAAAUGAAAAUUUGGGAGUCGCCACCAAUCUUUUAUUGAGGUGUGAUUGGAUCACCUAAAAAAAUGGCUUUGGUAUACGAGUUUUAGAAAAACGGAUCCGGGAAUCAGUUACAUACGAGGAAGGAUUAGCACCCUCGUAACGCCCAAAAUUGGUACCUAGUUAAUUAAUUAGUAUCUUAAGGUCGAGAAUUUGGAGAAAAUGUAAUCCUUAGCAAAACUUAAAAGGCUACGUAUUAAGACCCUUAUUAUUUUAGAGAAAGAAGAUACCACACCCAAUUCGUUAGGGCGCAGCAUUCUAAUUUUCCCCAAAAUGAAUUGGGCCAAAAUACUUGUACAAUAAAACUUUAAAAGAACAUCCACUCAUCCAAGAUUUAAGAAAUCACACCCAAUACGUUAGGGCACGAUUCCUCUAGAAUCCCGAACUCGGAAUAUUUCCUUUACUUUAAAAGAACAUCCACUUAUCCAAGAUUUAAGAAAUCACACCCAAUACGUUAAGGCACAAUUCUUAUAAAAUCUCAAACUCGGAAUAUUUCCUUUAUUAUUUUUUAAAAAAAAUCUUCAUUUCGAGAAAUCAGUGCGUCACAUCCAAUACGUUAGGACACAACUUGUUGAAUUCCCAAUAAUGAGUUUUUAUUUUGUUUGAUUGAAGAGAAAUGCUCGAUUGUCAGAUUUAACGAAGAAAAUCGGAACCCAAUACAUUAUGGCUCAAUUCCCUUGAAAAUCCUAAAUACGAACAUUAUCUCAAUUUAAAAAAAAAUUCUAUCUUUAAAUUUCAGUAAAAAAUGAUGUAACGUGAUUUUAUACAUACAAAUGCUAUAAUAAUAAUAACAACAAUAAAUACAUCAUCGACAUAAAAAUAAUAUAAGCAAAUGAAUAAAACGAAAUAAAAAAAGGGUAAUCCAUGACAUGCAAAAUAUUAAAUGUAAACACAAUUAUACAAUGGAUGAGAUAGCAAACAAAUAAAUAAGGAUCAAAAGAUGUACACAUAGAAAUUAUGAAGAUUAAAAAUAUACAUAUAAUUUACAAAUAAAAUUUUUAAUUUAUAUAUAAAUACAACACAUAAUAUACUUAUGAAAAUAAGGAAAAAAAAUAAGUAUAUUUUAAAAAAGGAAAAAAAGGUGCGUAUUUAAUCACUUAAAAACGUAAAUAUAUACAUAUAUAUAUGAAAAUAUUCAUUUUAAAAAAAGGAAAAUAUUCGUUUUUAAAAAAUAUAUAUAUGUGUACAUAUAAAAGGAAUAUAUAUAAAUAAAAAAUUAGAAUAAAAAUAAUAAUUACACUAUUAAUUAAUAAAAUAAAUAAAAAGAACAUAAAAAAACUAAAUUGAAUUGCAAUUAAAAAAUCUGAGGUAAAUCCACAAAUAAAUAAAAGUAAAAGGACUAAUUUGAACGCGCGAGUUAAAAUUGGAAUUUUAAAUAAAUAAAAGGGUAAAUUAAAAAAAUAAAAAAAACUUAAUUACAAAAACAUUAAAAGGCGGAGGGGCUAAAUAAAAAUAGAAUAAAAUUCGCAGUGGUAUCACCUUCUCCUUGUUUUUUAAAAUCGUAAAUAAGUAAAAAAUAAUCGAACGAAAAAAAUAGUAAGCCACCUUUAAAAAACUGCCGAUCGUUCUCUUUUUUUUUUAUUUCUCCUCCCUCCUUUUUCUCUUUUUUUUAUUACAAUGAAGGGAGAUGCCUCUAUUUAUAGCUGAGCCUCCCCAAAUCCAACGGUACAGAUCAGUUACAUCAACGGCUGAGAUUAAAGGGUAUCUACAAAUUAAAUCUCUAAGAUUACAAAAUGAUAUAUUCUAAGAUUGCAUAUCAUAUCUAAGAUUAUAUAUCAUCUCUAAGAUUGCAUAUCAUAUCUAAGAUUGCAUAUAUCAUAUCUUGGAUUGCAUAUCAUAUCUAAGAUUGCAUAUCCUCAAAAAUUAUGUUUCCAUAUGUGAGCCCGGGCUAAAAUUGGGUAUUACAUUUAUCAUAUUACAUCUCAAUUUCUUAUUAUCAUAUUCAUUUGUAACUUUUUACUUAUUUCACAAUUUAGUCCUUAAGUCCUCAAAUCAACCUAUAAAAAGUACUACUCUUUUUAAUACAUGUAUCAUAUUUCACCAUUUAGUGUAAAUUUUCAUAAUUCCAUCACUAUUUCUUCCACCCUUUUUUUUACAUUUUUAACUUACUAGUCAUUGUCUUUCUUAUACUCCCUCAAAUACAUUCAAUUUACUUAUGUCUUCACUUUACUAGUUCAAUAUUUCGAACAUUAAUCGGAGAUAAACCUUUACCUUGUAACGAAAAUUGUUUACCUUUUUAGAGAGGCCCAGUAGACUAAAUAGAACUAUUAGGAUAUACGAAACUGAUACAGAGGUGCACUAAAGUGCACUAAUAGAACAAUAGGCACCAAAGUGCAAAGUAGUAGGCACUGAAGUGCGGAACGAUAAACACCGAAGUGCGAAACGGUAAGCGUUAAAGAGCAAGACAAUAAGCGCGCUAAAAUUUCCUUAAUGGCAUGACAUCUAUAUCCCAAUAGUUCUAAUCUCAUCUACUUGGGCAAAUUAUAUCAUGCACACAUAUCACUUUAACACUUUUACAUAACACAUUUAUAUUUUUUUACAAUUUAGUCCUUGUAACAACAAUCCAUAUACUUAUAUCUUCCACUAUCUUUAAUACAUGUAAUAUAUCUCUAAAUUCAAUAUUCAUCUAUAAUUAACUAAUAAUCCUUAUCAUGUAUUUCACAUAUCACUUUUAUAUAUUUUGUAAUUUAGUCAUUAGCACAAUAUUUCAUGUAACAAUAUAUUUUACUUUUAAUAACACAUAUAACGUAAUUCAAUACUUAUUAAUAUUCCAAAAUUCACUACAACAUCAUUUUUUUUCUCAUUCUAAGUGUUAUGCACUUCACUUCUCUAUUUCUAAUAUAAUUUUUUUCAAAUUUACGAUUUAACCCUUAAUUUCCACAACUUAGGAAAUAAUUGUAGUUUGGAUUACAAAAUUCAUAUAUUAUUUUUUUACUAUGUGCUUUAUUAUCAAUAUUUUCUUGCAAACCUUUAUAAUUUUCCAAUUUUGUAACACCCCUUACCCGUAUUCAACACUAGAAUAGGGUACGAGGCAUUACCAGAACACAAACGCUUGUAAACGUAUUUAACCGUAUUAUAAAAUUUCAUCUAAAUUAAAACUUUCAAAUUUUUUUAACAUGCUUUUAUAAUUCUUCACAAUAUAUCCUCAAAAUAUUAUAUUCAUAAUAAAUAGGGCUUACGAGACCCGAUACAUACCUAUGCAAUUCAAUGCGUCAUUUCCAUUUCAUUCAGUUCACAAUUUCUCAUGCUCACAAUUCAAAUCAUAUCACUAGCAAUUUCUAUUUAAUUCACGUACAAUUCAAUAUUAGUAAGUUCAAUACUAAUACGUAUUUACCAUUUUACUUAACGUUUUUCGAUUAUACCAUUCAUUAACACAUUUAUGAAAUUCUCAAUUUUGCAAUGAAAAUAUCACUUUAUCUUAAAUAACAACAUCAAUUCAACUCAUCAUCCCCUUUUUCGUCAUUUUUCACUUCAAAUAUGAACUUACUAUUUCAUUACCUUUCCACACCCAUUUCCUAUGCAUAUCACAUAAGACAUAAACAUAUCGUUCAACCAUAGUCGCAAGCUAGUACAUUUAAGCAUAAUUCUUUUUGGAACUAACCACAUGAUAAACCAUUUCACUAGAGAUUACAUAAUUUAAACCUUACCACCCCUGUCAUGAUCACAAGCAUAUUCCCAUUUAGGCACUUACCAUUUCAAUGCAUAACUUAUAAGCUUAACGUGGCAUAAUCCAACCACAACUUGGUCAAAGCCUAAGCAUGUACAUCAAAUAUGUUAACCAAAUAAACAUAUAGCAUAAGCAUUAUGAGCAUGGAUGAGCACAACAUUUAUUAAUGUAUCAAACUUACCAACAUGUGUUAAUUCAUAAACCAUUCAUGACACUACUUCAAGCUAAAUCAUAUUCCAAAUAUACCAUACACACAUACUAUGAAACUUUAUUUUCCCACAUGAGCUUAAAUCAUGACCAAUAAUGCGCAAAUAUAAGCAUUAUUUCUAUUUCAUCGUUUAUCAAUUAUAAUCGAGCAUAUUACCAAUUAUACACAAAUCAUUCAUAUAUUUCCCAAUUUUCCUCCUCCUCCUUUCCAUUCCACAUCCUUAAUGUGUAUAACACACUUAAACAACAUUAUCCAUACUUUCACUAUUUUUUUGUAUGUAAAUUCAAACUAUCUGUCUGAGUCUGAGUCACUAAUUUAUUUAUAUCUCGAGCUACCGAUCUCCAAAUUAAGAUCCGUUAAUUUUUCCUGAAACUACACUCAUAUACUUCUUACCAUAAAAUUUUUAUAAUUUUUUUUCUUAGCCAAUAAAUAUAUUUUAUUCUUUAAAAUUUCCCUUGUUUCACUGCUCGAUAGUUUUGACAUUUCUUCACUAAAAAUUAAUUAUUUCAUAGUACAGAAUUCAGAUAAUAUUCUCGUUUGUUUCUUUUGAAAAUAGACUCAUUCAUAAUUCUAAAAAUAUAAAUUUUAUCCCAUAAUUAUUUUUUUAAAAUUUUUAAUUAUUUUCCAAAGUCAGAAUAGGGGAUUCCAAAAUCAUUCUAGCUCUAUCUCACUAAAAUUCAAAUAUCUCAUAAUACAAAACUCGUUUGCUUUCUAUAUAUAUUUUAUGUGAAAAUAGACUUCUUCAGAUUUAAUUUCAUAUCUUAUUCACUCUCUAAUUAGAUUUCCACCAUUUUUGGUGAUUUUUCAAAGUCACACAACUGAUGCUGUCCAAAACUGUUUUGUUGCUAAAUUUACUCUUUCAUAAUUUCACUUACUCCAUUGCAUCUUACCGAUGGUUUGAUCAAAUAUCGAGCACAUUUUUCAUAAAUUUUCACACUUAUACCUACAAUCAUUCAUCACAUAGUCAUAUUUAAUUACAAUUAGUCGUUACUUGAUCUCAUGUAUUUUCACUUAGUCAAUUUCCCGAUAAACACUUUGGAAUAAUAACAGAUACAUGGUGGAUCAGCACAUAGCACCACCCUUAUAGUCAAUGAUACUCGGUGGAUUCAGCACAUAGCAACCACCUUCAUAAUCAAUAGUACCAGGUGGAAUCAACACACAACAACCACAUUUAUAAUCAAUGGUACCCGGUACACGUAGUAGCCUGCAUAUAGUACUACACACGUGACCAUUACUAUCUCUUUCACAUAGUGUUCGGCACACAGCCCGUGCCACACAUGUGAUCAUUAUUUUCACUUCAUUCGUAUAUUUUCUAUUCCGGAGGUUCAACUGGGAAAUUUCUCACUUUUAAUAACACAUUUAACUUACUUAACACUCACAUUAUUCAAUUUAGUCCAAAAAUCACAUUUUUGCCAAAAAUACAUUUUUCCCCUAAAGUUUCACAAAAUUACAAUUUUGCCCCUAGGCUCGUAAAAUAAUUUUUAUUCAAUUUCCUUGCAUUUUAGUCCUAGACAAACCAUUUUAAUAACUAUAUCAGUCUACAAUUCUCACUUAUUCGCACACUUGUGACAUAUUUUAUAACUUUUACAAAUUAACUCUUUUAGGCAUUUUCAUCGGAAAUCACUUAGUAAAAGACAUUCAUCACACUCCAAACAUUCAUAUUCUUCCAUAAAACAUCAAAAUACAUGCAUAUCAUUCAUAGAUAAAUUUUUAAACACAAACCCUAGUUCAAAAUAAUGGUAAAACUAGGUAAAUCUUGUUACGAGGAUUUCAAAAACGUAAAAAUCAUUAAAAAAAGGGCUAGAACAGACUUAUAAUCGAAAUGAGAUAACCAUGAGUUGAGAGAUGUGAAAACGUAGAAUAAAAUGAAAGUUUAUAUGGUGAUAAGCCCAUCCGUGUUUGCUUGGCGUGCAUUUGAUGUUAUGUGCUCAACAUAUUUGAUUAAGUAAAUAUGGUAAGCAAAUAUACACAAAUAGAUGGAAUGUGUGUUUAUGUGCACUUGCUUGAAUAAGUGUAAUCAGUAUAUUUAUAUGAUAGAAUCUUAUGUCUAAUUUUUAAAUUAGAAAUAAUAUGGUGUUUUGUUUUAUGUCUUUAUUGUUGAACCAUGAAUAUUAUAAUAGUAUGAAAAUUGAAUUGGAAGAUCAAAUUGAGUAGAACGCGGGAAUGAGUACUUUUGUUUAGUGAUAUGUGAUGAAUUGACAGAAAAUAUCAUGGUUUGACCAUUGCAACAUGUAAAAAUGUGAUUAUGUGUUUCCGUGUAAGACCAUAGCUGGGCUAUGGCUUCGGUGUGUGAUAUGUGGCGAUGUGUAAGACCAUAGUUAUACUAUGGCAAUGUGAAAACAAAAUACUCAAUUUUGUAAGACGUUCUCUAAUUUGACAAAUAUCGGUAAGUAAAAUGGAAGCCAAGUAUUGGAAUUUAAUUAGAUAUUAAUAUUGAGCUCGAGCAAGUAAAUCCAUUGUGUGAAAUUGUGGGUGAAAGAAAAUAAUGGUAAAAAUAGGUAAAUCUUGUUACGAAGAUUUCAAAAACGUAAAAAAUUAUUAAAAACGAGGCUAGAACGGACUUACAAUCGAACUUGGAAGCUUGAAAAACUCUAGCCAUGGUUUCUCCAUGCAAUUUUCGGCCUAGGGGUUGAAGAUGGACAAAAAUUGGCUUUUAAUUUUGUUUUUAAUUCAUUUUAAUAACUAAAUGACCAAAAUGCCCUUAAUGAAAAACUUUGGAAACAUGCCUAACCAUGUCCAUUUUUGUCCACCAACUUAACCAAUGGUCUAAUUACCAUAUAAGGACCUCCAAUUUAAAAUUUCAUAACUAUUGGACCAUGAAUAUUAUAAUAGUAUGAAAAUUGAAUUGGAAGAUCAAAUUGAGUAGAACGCAGUAAUGAGUAUUUUCGUUUAGUGAUAUGUGAUGAAUUGACGGAAAAGACCAUGGUUUGACCAUGGCAACAUGUAAAAAUGUGAUUAUGUGUUUUCGUGUAAGACCAUAGCUGGGCUAUGGCUUCGAUGUGUGAUAUGUGGCGAUGUGCAAGACCAUAGUUAUACUAUGGCAAUGUAAAAACAAAGUACUCAAUUUUGUAAGACGUUCUCUAAUUUGACAAAUAUUGGUAAGUAAAAUGGAAGCCUAGUAUUGGAAUUUAAUUAGAUAUUAAUAUUGAGCUCGAGUAAGUAAAUCCAUUGUGUGAAAUUGUAGGUGACAGAAAACAUUCGUAAGAAAUAGAUGUGUUAAUUUGCUUGGAAUGAACUAUGUGGUUAUGAUGGUAUUACAUUGAUAAUCAAUGCUAAGUCAUAUAUAUAUAUGUAUUUAUGUGAGUAAGUCAGAUGCUUUACGACCUCACCAUCACCCUCCUUAUCAGUAUUGCUUUAUGAUGAAAUUUUUAUGAGAAUCAUGUUGAAUAAGCUCAUAAAUGUGAACUGAAGAGUUCAGUGGUCAAAUAAUUAGUAAAGUAAACAGAGUUAAGUAUAGUGUAACAAAUGAACUUGGUAAAAAUAGGUAAAUCUUGUUAUAAGGAUUUCAAAAAUGUAAAAAUCAUUAAAAAAUAAGCUAGAACGGACUUACAAUCGAACUUGGAAUCUUGAAAAACCCUAGCCAUGGUUUCUCCAUGCAAUUUUCGGCCUAGGGGUUGAAGAUGGACAAAAAUUGGCUUUUAAUUUUGUUUUUAAUUCAUUUUAAUAACUAAAUGACCAAAAUGCCCUUAAUGACAAACUUUGAAAACAUGCCUAACUAUAUCCAUUUUUGCCCACCAACUUAACCUAUGGUCUAAUUACCAUAUAAGGACCUCCAAUUUAAAAUUUCAUAACAAUUGGACACCUCUAACAUGUAGAUCUUAACUUUUAUACUUUUUACAAUUUAAUCAUUUUGACUAAAUUGAGUGCCCAAACGUUAAAAUUUUCAAACGAAAUUUUCACGAAAUCAUUUUGUGAAAUAGUAGACCAUAAAAAUAUAAUAAAAAUAAAUUUUAUUCUCGUCAGAUUUGUGGUCCCGAAACCACUGUUAUGACUAGGCCUAAAAUCGGGCUGUUACAACUCUCUCCCCUUUAGGGAUUUUCGUCCUCGAAAAUCUUACCAGAAGAAAUUACUUCCAACUCUCAUAAAACACUUCACUAACUUUCCAAAAUCACUAAUCAAUUUAAUCUUGUAUGUCUCUUUUCAAUAAAUAUAUCUCUAAGGAUAAAAGAAUAUAUAUAUAUAGAAUAUCCAAAAAAGAUCAUCGUGUUCAUUUCGAUUAUAAUUGUCACACACAGGCAUCUUUACCACUUAAUUAUCAUUUCUCUAACUAAUUCUAUUAUCACGAAUCUCACAUUAUUCCAUUCACUAAUAAAAAUCAAUUCAGAAGAAUUUUCAGUUAAUACAUGCAUUCUUUAGGUAUCAUACCUGAAUAUUUUGUCUCAUCAAAUUUAACUUCUUCUUUAACAGUGGCAUUACAUAAUAUGUAUAAUCUUUAAAAUAAUCUGAUAUUUCUUUUAAAACUGAGUUCAUUUGUUACACUAUACUCAACUCUGUUUACAUUACUAAUUAUUUGACCACUGAACUCUUCAGUUCACAUUUAUGAGUUAUUCAACAUGAUUCUCGUAAAAAUUUCAUCAUAAAGCAAUACUGAUAAAGGGUGAUGGUGAGGUCGUAAAGCCUCUGACUUACUCACAUAAAUACAUAUAUAUAUAUGACUUAGCAUUCAUUAUCAAUGUAAUACCAUCAUAACCACACAGUUCAUUCCAAACAAAUUAACACAUCUAUUUAUUACGAAUGUUUUAUGUCACCCACAAUUUCACACAAUGGAUUUACUUAUUCGAGCUCAAUAUUAAUAUCUAAUUAAAUUCCAAUACUUGGCUUCCAUUUUACUUACCGAUAUUUGUCAAAUUAGAAAACAUCUUACACAAUUGAGUACUUCGUUUUCAUAUUGCCAUAGUAUAACUAUGGUCUUGCACAUCGCCACAUAUCACACACCGAAGCCAUAGCCCAGCUAUGGUCUUACAUGAAAACACAUAAUCACAUUUUUACAUGUUGCCAUGAUCAAACCAUGGUCUUUUUCGUCAAUUUAUCACAUAUCACUGAACAAAAGUACUCAUUCCUGCGUUCUACUCAAUUUGAUCUUCCAAUUCAAUUUUCAUACUAUUAUAAUAUUCAUGGUUCAAUAAUAAAGAUAUAAAACAAAACACCAUAUUAUUUCUAAUUUAACAAUUAGACAUAAGAUUCUAUCAUAUAAAUAUACUGAUUACACUUAUUCAAGCAAGUGUACAUAAACACACAUUCCAUCUAUUUGUGUAUAUUUGCUUACCAUAUUUACUUAAUCAAAUAUGUUGAGCACAUAACAUCAAAUGCAUGCCAAGCAAACAGGGAUGGGCUUAUCACCAUAUAAACUUUCAUUUUAUUCUACGUUUUCACAUCUCUCAACUCACAGUUAUCUCAUUUCGUACAUUAAAACAUACUUAUCAUGAACUUCUAUUCAUACCUUUCUAAAUUUCAUUUAUUCAAUAACACAUUUCAAUCGCCUCAAUAUAAAUUUUCAGCAUUAUUGGAAACAAUUCGGUUAGAAGUCAUCUCUGUCUUAACAAAUCAAUUUCAUUAGAGCCGAAAAAUAUUACACUAUCACGAGUAAUAAUAUGACAUGUAUAGCUAAACUCACAUACGCUAUGUUAGUCCGAGAACCGACUAAACCAUAGCUCUGAUACCACUAAAUAUAACACCCCUUACCCGUAUUCGACACCCGAAGAGGGUACGAGGCAUUACUAGAACACAAACGCUUGUAAACGUAUUUAACCGUGUUAUAAAAUUUCAUCUAAAUUAAAACUUUCAAAUUUUUUUAACAUGCUUUUAUAAUUCUUCACAAUAUAUCCUCAAAAUAUUAUAUUCAUAAUAAAUAGGGCCUACGAGACCCGAGACAUACCUAUGCAAUUCAAUGCUUCAUUUACAUUUCAUUCAGUUCACAAUUUCUCAUGCUCACAAUUCAAAUCAUAUCACUAGCAAUUUCCAUUUAAUUCACGUACAAUUCAAUAUUAGUAAGUUCAAUACUAAUACGUAUUUACUAUUUAACUCAACUUUUUUUUGUCAUGGUCAAACCAUUACUAUCUCUUUCACAUAGUGAUCAUUAUUGUCACUUCACUCGUAUCUUUUCUAUUCCGGAGGUUUAACCGGGAAAUUUCUCACUUUUUUUUCACUGAUCAAAGUCGAUUUCUCGUCUUUCUUGAUUUAUAAUAACACAUUUAACUUACUUAACACUCACAUUAUUCAAUUUAGUCCAAACAUCACAUUUUGGCAAAAAUGUAGUUUCACAAAAUUACAAUUUUGGCGUGCAUUUGAUGUUAUGUGCUCAACAUAUUUAAUUAAGUAAAUAUGGUAAGCAAAUAUACACAAAUAGAUGGAAUGUGUGUUUAUGUACACUUGCUUGAACAAGUGUAAUCAGUAUAUUUAUAUGAUAGAAUCUUAUGUCUAAUUGUUAAAUUAGAAAUAAUAUGGUGUUUUAUUUUAUGUCUUUAUUAUUGAACCAUGAAUAUUAUAAUAGUAUGAAAUUUGAAUUGGAAGAUCAAAUUGAGUAGAACACAGGAAUGAGUACUUUCGUUUAGUGAUAUAUGAUGAAUUGACGGAAAAGACCAUGGUUUGACCAUGACAACAUGUAAAAAUGUGAUUAUGUGUUUCUGUGUAAGACCAUAGCUGGGCUAUGGCUUCGGUGUGUGAUAUGUGGCGAUGUGUAAGACCACAGUUAUACUAUGGCAAUGUGAAAACGAAGUACUCAAUUCUGUAAGACGUUCUCUAAUUUGACAAAUACCGGUAAGUAAAAUGGACGCCAAGUAUUGGAAUUUAAUUAGAUAUUAAUAUUGAGCUCAAGUAAGUAAAUCCAUUGUGUGAAAUUGUGGGUGACAGAAAAUAAUGGUAAAAAUAGGUAAAUCUUGUUACGAGGAUUUCAAAAACGUAAAAAAUUAUUAAAAACGAGGCUAGAACGGACUUACAAUCGAACUUGGAGGCUUGAAAACCCCUAGCCAUGGUUUCUUCAUGCAAUUUUUGGCCUAGGGGUUGAAGAUGGACAAAAAUUGGCUUUUAAUUUUGUUUUUAAUUCAUUUUAAUAACUAAAUGACCAAAAUGCCCUUAAUGAAAAACUUUGGAAACAUGCCUAACCAUGUCCAUUUUUGUCCACCAACUUAACAAAUGGUCUAAUUACCAUAUAAGGACCUCCAAUUUAAAACUUCAUAACAAUUGGACACCUCUAACAUGUAGAUCUCAAAUUUUUCACUUUUUACAAUUUAGUCCUUUUGACUAAAUUGAGUGCUCAAACAUCGAAAUUUUCGAACGAAAUUUUCACGAAAUCAUUUUGUGAAAUCUGAGAUCAUAAAAUUAUAAUAAAAAUAAAUUUUAUCCUCAUCGAAUUUGUGUUCCCGAAACCACUGUUCCGACUAGGCCCAAAAUCGGGCUGUUACAAAUUUAAUCACCUUUUAUGAUAAAAGUUGUCUAUUCAUUAUUAAAUAAAAUUUUUUUCACAUCUCACUUAUUUCACACAAUUAAUUACACUAUCUCAUUUUCCACAUUAAAUUUCUAUGUAUUUCACUUGUAUUAUUUCCACCACAUGUAUUUCUCAAGUCCUUUAAUUUAAUCCUUGUUUCCAUAAAAUUUCACAUUUUCCCAUAAUUUUACUUAUCUAAUACUUUGUAUAUAUAUAUUUGCUAUUACAUAACCCAACUAUUAUUCUUUUAUUAUAAUUUUCUACUUCACAUAAUAAAUUAUUUCACACUAUUUUUUUACUUAAUUACUACUUAGCUUACAAAGAUCACAUUUUAAUCCUUAAAUAACAAGGAAGUUCAUGGGUACUUACCUCUUUUCCAUCAAAAUCUCUUGUUUUGCUCUUCUCUUACCACUUGAUUCACUUACUCAACUUCUCUCUUCAUCAACAUGUCAAAAACACAAUAUUUUCUCAAGAGAAAUCUUUACUUUAACACCAUUUUUAUGCUUUUCUAUCACUACUAAACUUAAAAAUAACAUAAAACCUUAACAUCCAUACCUUAUUCUCUUGAAACCAAACUUUAACUUGACUUCCUCUCUCCUCCAACUUCUAUUUUUUGAAUCUAACUUUAUAUUCUAGCUCCCCAUAAUCUCCUUAUUAUUUUUCUCUCUUGGUGGCUAUGGAAAUUCUUUUGAUUUCUAAGUGAAAAUGGUAAAUUUUUUGUGAAAGGACCAAAUUGUAAAGAAAAUAUUUUUUCUUUCUUUUCUGCUUCUCAUGUUGGAAGCAUGAAAAGAUGAAGAGAAUUCUCUAUCUUUCUUUCCUUAUAUAAUAAGUAAAAAUUAAUAAAAUAUAAAUAAAUGUCAAAUCAAAAUAUUAAUAAACUAAUAUUUAUUUAAUUAAUCUAAAAUAUCACCAACAUCAUCAUUACUCUUCAAAAUAUCUUUCUUGUUAAAUGAUCAUUUUGCCCCUUAUGAUCCUUCAAAAUUCCUCCAUUGAAUCAUCACUCAUUUUAGUAAAAUUACGAUUUAACCCCCUCAUACUUUUUCCACUUAUUCAAUUCGGUUCUAAUUCAUCCAGAUUCCUUAGUUUCUAGAUCCUUCCACCCUUAAAAUAUUUUCACUAUUGGUCCUUCAACUUUUCCAUAUUUACACUUCAACCUCUCAAACUUUGAGUAUUUACUCUUGGGCCACAAAAAUUUUCUCACUUUUUCAAUUUAGUCAUUUCUUAAAUUAAUACAUCAUAAUAUAUUUCUUAAACAGAUUUUGUUGACAUAACUCAAAAUUUCUCUUUUUUCCACUUUAUUUCAUUAUUUUACUGUACCAAAGACAAUAUCUCACUUUCUUACUGUAGUAACUUUCGGGGUGUUACAAUUAUUGUUGUUUAAAUUUCAAAAAUUUUGAUUAUCAUUAUUAACAUUUUCAAGUUGGAGUUUUUUUGUUGUCAUUACACAUUAAUGCCUUAUUUGGUUACUAGUGUAAUAAUAUGAGAAAAAAACUUAGUUAUUAGAUAUGUAUUUCUAAGGUAGAACUUGCUCGGAAGGGAAUAGAACAUGAUUCAGUCUGUGGGGUUUGUGGUCAAGAUUCUGAAGAUGUACUUUAUGCUACUAGAGAUUGUUCUGUUGCGAGAAAUGUUUGGGACCACUUAAUUCCAACCGAAUGGUGUUUUAGGUUUUAUGCAAGAAAUCUUCAAGAAUGGCUUGUUCUAAAUUUGCAAAAUCAACAUAAUUGGCAUUUGGGAGGUGCUGACUGGCAAUGUCUAUUUGGGAUCAUCGCUUGGCGCUUGUGGAAGAACCGCAAUAUUUUCAUUUUUCAAGGUACUUCAUGGACCAAUAGUGAAAUUAUCAAAGUGGCAAAUAGUUGGGCUAAACAAUACUUUUCUUCUAAAGGGAGUAAGGCAAAUGACUCACAAGGUAAGUUUCCACUUCUAUUUUUAAAUAAUGACUAUGUCCUUUUGAGUACAGAUGGAUCCGUUUUGGAGAAAGCCGGAUUUGCAGCGGUAGGAGGUAUAGUACAUGAUCGAGGUGGAGCUUGGAUUCUUGGAUUCAAUAAAUAUUUGUGGAAUUGUUCUAUAUUUGAAGUUGAGCUGUGGGGUAUUCUAGAAGGUUUAUCUCUGCUCGUGGAGUUGGGAUAUGAUAGCGUAUUGAUCCAUUUUGAUUGCUUGGAAGCCAUUACAACUAUUCUAGAGGGAUCUUCUGAAGGGUCCAAUUCUGUUUUGGUUCGAAGAAUUUAUCAAAUACUGUUGUGGUUUAAAUAUUGGAACAUUAGAUAAAUUUCUACGGGGGAAAAUCAGGAAGCUAACCAUUUGAGCAAAAUGGCCUAACAUAGAGAUUAUGGGUUAUGUCUGUUUUUGACCUCUCCUUUAGAAUGGUUGGUCUAGUUAUUGUAAUAUGUUUUUAUUUUUACUUUUUUACCAAAAGAGAGAGAGUAAAGAAUAGUUAGUACAAAUUUAAAUUUGAAACUAGAAAUAUGAGUAAAAACUAUUGUUAAAAAUAAAAAAUCUUCAAAAUAAGCAAAAAAAAUUCCCUUUUUUUUUUUGCUAAAAAUAAGUCAUAGGAAUGACUAAGAAAUGUUUGAAGCUUUCUUUGUUUCUUAAGUUAUGAAGGAUGUCAAGAAGAAGAAAUGUUUUCAUAUUUUAUAUUAUGAUUAUAACUUACGUAAUUAUAUUUUUAUCUUAAUUAAUCAAAAUAUAACAUUACGUCUACUAUUUCUUAUUUUUGCAUGGUCUAUUUGCUAUUUUGAACCUUUAAUUAAUUGCAAUUUAAGUCUCCAAGUCAUUUCCUAAUAAAAAUCUAUAGCGAUUGAACUUUAUAAUUUAAUCCCUUAACCUCAAUUAAACACAAUUUUGACUAAAUUAACUAUUCAAAUUUCUUUUCAUCUAUAUAUUAACUUUAUAAAUAUCUUUAUUCAAUAUUUACAAAUUCGAUUUAUGAAAACAAUACAAAGAACUAUAUUUUUUGGCCAAGAGAUGAUUUUCUUUUCUUUUCUUAAACGAAGAGAAUAGUUUUCCUCGGUAAAGAAAGGCUGACAUUGUGAUAUUGAAUCAUGGGAAAAAGGAGAAACCCAAGUUUAUUGAUUCCAUCAUUAAUCCUAUUAUCAUUCUCAAAUUGUCAAAUUUAAAGCUACAACCACCCUACCAGCCUACUACACAUGCGGUCUUCACCAUUCGUUUGGGGGAAUUCUUUAUUAAGCUGCAUGAAACAAGCCAUGAAAUAUUUAUCUAUCUGUCUAUAUAUAAAAUACAUACUAAAAAGAGUGGAACAGCUGGAUCCAAAUCCAAUAGGGGCUCUCUUUUCAAGGCCGUAGAAGCCAUCAAUUUUAUAAGCAAUAGCAGGCAAGGGAAAAGAAGGGUAAUGGGUGGGAGGUCAAUGCUUGCUUGGAGUUAGAUAUGGAAAUUGGAGCUCUGCAAACCGGUCUAAUAUAAGCUACAAUCCAAAAUUUAAAUGAUUUGGCAUUGAACUCUUUUACAAACAUUUGCAAUCAAAGUGAGAAUGCUGGAAAUCGCUAACUUCUUUAGUUGUUUUCACUCAAAUAUGAACAUAAAUGGUGGUGAAUAGGGUAGCCAAAAGUGGGUUACUAAAAGUAAUUGUAACUUUCCUUCAAGAGCACUAAGAAUCAUUUAUUGCAAUUAUUGCCUCUAAGGUCAUACUUAUCCAUUGUCUAGGCUCUAGACCCUAUCGCUAAACUUGCAUAAUAUUUCAAAUGAAUGGUAAUGAAUUUCUAAUUAAAUGACAAAGGUUGAAGACUAUUUGAUGCUCUUUUUCCGAUGUGAAAUACUCCUUUGACCCCAAUAAUGUUUGCUUCCUUAAAAACAUGUAUGACAGCAAUUACAUAGUACUAUAUGUGUAUACAUCUCCAAUUAGCUUAUACUCGAAAAGAAAAUAAUUCAAAACUUACUAGGCAAUUCCACUUUAGUCGGACCAACUCACGAGAAGCUUUGGGUGUAAUGUAAUGUAAUGUAAGGACCACCAACUUGUAUGAAAUGAUGGCAGCUUUAGAUUGCUUGUUUGUUGGCCAUGCAUGCCCCAUGCUCCAUCCAAUUAGAGCAACCCCCCUCCCCCUUCUGAAUCCAAACCUGUGUACUGUUUUAUCCCCUUGUUUUUCACACGCAUGCCUAUUUUUUAAUCAAUAUAAUAAACCUAGUUUCUUCUCCCACCCCCAUCUUCAAUUCUUCCACUUCAUCAUGAUUAGUUUACUAGGCUUUUGAUUCUUCCAGGCUGUCCUCUAAUUAGUAGUUAUAGAGUUAGCUUGAUUACUAUGAACCUUUGAAAUUUGAAUCCAAAUGUGGGUAAUCAACAUAUCAUUUAAUUCCUCAUUAAUGAAUCUUUGCAAUUGGACGUUGGUAGCUUGAGACUUUACUAAAGCUAAGCUAGCUUCAGGUCAAACCAGACCAACCUUUGAGGUUCAACUUUUACAAUAAAUCAUCUCUCGCUUCAUAUUUUCAAGCUUCCCAACCAACUUUUUGUUAUAAUUAAUGGUAUCCCAUUUCUUUUUAUUUUUUUAAAUAAAAUUUUACUUUGAAUUUGAUGUAGUUUAAUCAGACUUGGAUGGUGGGAAGGUCUGAGAUUCAUUAAAUCAAAAGGUACCACAAAAGCAAUUACAAGCUUUAAAAUGGUUACAACUUACAACUGGGCGCAUACAUAUACUACCACUAUUCUCCAUUCCAACCAUUCCUUAGGUUUACAGCUCGUUGAGUUAGAAUGAUAAGCCGAAAAUAUUCAAAAGAAAAAAGAAAUUAUUUAAAAGUGUUCAGGAACUCAAAUCAAAUGAAUAAUUUAAAUUAAUAUGUAUCAUUAGUUUAUCUUUAUUGUUUCUUAUCUCUAAGGGUAAUUUUGAAUAUUGAAUAUUGCUUAUAAAAAAAAUUAAUUGAAGAAAAAAGAACUAAUAUAAAAUACAGAGUGUAUCAAAUAAAUUCAAGGUAACACCACAUUUCAUUCCCUUUGAACUUUGAAGAUACUUGAUUUCACCAUCAAUCCAUUGAAUGCAUAUAUUGUUUUCAAUCAUAAACAUACCUCUUUGCUCUCCUUAAUUACAAUUCCUUUUCUUUGUUGGAACCAACCUUAGAGUUUUCACAAGCUAUUUACACGUAUGACGAGUGAAACAUAAAUAGUGAGGCUUGGGCACUUGUGUUGUGGGAGUUGUGACAUCUUUCCAAUCCAAAACCAACCAAUGCGACCCCAGCUAGCAGUGAUGAUGAGAUCCUACAGUUAAAAAAAUUUGGAGAAUGAUGUGUCAUUUUCAGCACCAUCCUCAUGAAUCUGAAAAAUCAAACUUUUGGGACCAUAUCUUUCAUUUUCAUUUAACAAAACAUGACAAAAGAAUUUGCCCAAUGCCACAAACUCCGAAACAACACUCGCCAAAUCAUACGUCAUGUUUGAGUAGGGAGAAUCUCAGAUGUACCCAGAAAAACAAGCACCAUAUUAAUACACUCGUAAUAAAUUUAUAAAUGAAACUGGCUGAAAAUUGGGUGUUAGCAUAGGGGUUAUAUAAUGAUGGGUGGUAGAGUUAUAAAUAUGCAAGCCCACAGCUGUAAAGAGUGGUCGUCCCUAAAACACUCAAUUCCAUCAUCGUCAGAGGACGGUACGAUACAAGGGUGGACUUAAUGGUGAACCGCGUGGAGUUUGUUUUGGUUUAGUGAAAGCACACAGCAUUUGGCUUAAUUAACCAUUUGUCGUCAAUCUUCACCAUGCUUUCUUCCUGUUUCCGCGUAUCAAUGCCCUUUCCCACCUUAAUAUUCAAAACUAAUGGGGCGGUCCCUAUUAGACCUGUGGAUUUGAAUAGGAGUAAUUCUCAGAUAAAUUUUGGACAUUAUUUUGAAAUUAAAUCAUUCCAACUUUCUGUUUAUUCAAUUAUUUAGAUUGAAUUAUAUUGUUAAAUUUAUCAAUAUAAUUAUAUUUAUUAUGCAUGUAAACUUUUAAAUCGAUCCAAUACUUUUAUAAUAUCAAUCUAAAUAUUGAAUUUUUUAUUUUAAAUUUACAUUAAAUGAAUAAAUAUAUAACUAUUUUUGUUUUUCCACCUCAAUGAAAUACAUUUUUAAGAUGAAUGAGAUUCAUUUAACUUUUUUAUUCUAUUUUUAAUCAAAUUGCAUUACAUUUUGUCUUUCUUUAAGAAUUAACGUACGCAACAAUUCUAGGUUGCUAACGAACAUUUAUAAUUAAAUAAAAGCAAAAGAUGUAUAGUAUGAUUGAAUCUUGUGUAAAAUUCGUUUUUGACCCAAAUAGGGGUAAAAUUGUAACACGACCCUCACUUGGGCAAACGGGCAACGUAAUGAAACACUAGAGCUCUCGUCUUUUUAAGCUAAUCACAUCCACAAUGAGGAUCCAUUCUACCAAUGAUUUCACUAACAAGUCCCUCCCAUUUUUACAUAUUUACAUUUAUACCACCCUCAUCUCUAUUCAGGGAUAGAACUCAACACAGCCUUGAACUUCCCUCUCCCUACUCUCCCUCUCUUCUCCCCGCCGUUCCCACCACCAGCACCGGCGGCGGGUGAAACCUUCCGGCGAGGAGACCCUUCAGAAAACGCGAAAGGGGUAACCGCCUUACUCCCGCGCCUGCAUUUUUCAGAGGCGGUGGUUUUCAUCAAAGCGGAGCUGGCUUUGACGGCCAAUGCAGCCAUUUCCUCAGCUUGUAAAGGAUGGUUGAGCCAACUCAAGGGCAAAGCGAAGUAAAGUUGACCGGGUUGAAGCUCCUCGUCUUCCUCGAUGGCGGAUACGAAGUCAUCGAAGUCCAUCUCAUCGGCGUUGCAGAUGAAACACAUGGGAUUCUUCUGCAAAACGUAAGAAGCCUUGACGGGGUAAGGAAACUCUUGUAACCGCCCAUCAUGGAGAAUCAGCUUGGCAGUUGCUACGUGAGUCGAAUCGCAAGAACUACAAAUACCCAUUUUCUAUUUUCAGAUUUGUGGAUUUCAACGUCGAAGCUGUCGAUUUUUUUUGGAAUAGAAAGCUUUUUUGAAAAUGUUGGUGUUGGAGAGCUGGGGGAAGUUUAUAAUAUAUAUAUAGAGGAAGGAUGAAAGGAGAGAUGUCUCGGAUUUUGGACCAGGUAGCCACGUAGGAUUUUGUCGUGACGUAGUAAUAAACAUAUUUAUGGGAACAGGAACAGUAGGCAGGGUUGCCAGGCUGUAAGUUAGUGGUGACAGGUUGUAUAAGGAGUGAGGAUGUGGGUCUGAACACAUCAACCCUGGUUUCGAGAUGAUAUUACGUUGACAGGGACUGCUGAGCUUUUUACAGUUCCAUGGGAUGAUUUCACUGCUAAGUGCAAACAUAAUGCAUUUAAUAAAAACGGUAACCAUACCAAUCAAGGAGUUUAACAUGUCUUUGCUUUAUGUUAUCAUAUUUCACUGUUUACCAUUGGUUUUAAAUAAUGCUUUUUAAGUUAGCAAGGUUACUGUAUAGGUUUUCAAGUUUUGAAAUUGAGAAAAAGUGUUUCUCAAGUUCAGUUUCUUUUACCUUUCGCUUUUUCUUUUGAAUUAAAUUAUUCAUUUAUCAUCUUCUUUUUCUUUUUUGAAAUUUAUUUAAAAUACUAUAUUUAUAUGCAGGUUAAAUUUUAUAAAAAGAACGUGUAUAUUUAUUUUUAUAUUAUACUUCUAUUAAUUUUAUUUAUAGAAUCUAAAAAUUCUACUAAUAGUCUCAAAAAAAAUUUAACUGUAAUGUGGGUGAGUUGGCAACUCAAACAUUCAAGGAAAAUACUUAAAAGUAAUGGGUAUUAAUAUGUUGUUUACAUUUCUUUUAUUCACACAUUGAGUAUAUUAUACUUAAAACGCCAACUGAAUUAUGAAAUAAUAAUACUUUUUCACUAAAUUAUAUUAUUAAAACACCAUAACUAAUGACACCUAAGUUUUUAAUAAAUAUACUUUUACAUGAUUCUGUAUGCACAUUUACAAUUAUUAUAAAAAUAAUAUAAUAAGAAAGAGGAAGGGGUAUGUUAUAUGGGGAAAAAAAGGGGCGAGAUAAAAUAGGACAUUCAUUCUAUAAAAGGUCACUAAAAAUAAGAGGAAGGUAAAUAGAUGGAAAAGGAAGGGUAUAAUGGAGAAGUAGAGAGAAACGUGGCAAUUGAAAAUCAACCCAAGGAAGCUAGGGGUGCAACUGUGCAGGGCAAAGCAAAAGACACGUGGAACAGAAGGGCCUUGGGAAUAGUAAACUCGCAGCAUUCCGACAAGACAUGGCGUAAGCUCAUCUGGUUUUGCUGCUGCUCCCUCCCUGUUUCCUGCUGCCCCGCCCUUUUUCUAAUAGUUAUUAUUUCCCCAUAUAGCCCAUGUAUUAUUAUCUUAAAUUCUAAAUCUACAUAACGCAACAUGAAAGCAUGGACAAUGUCGGGACUUUCUUCUACUCGUAUAUUUUAUAUAUUAGGUCUUGUAGGGUUUGCAUGUGCAUGAGUGAUGGAGUGAGAAUACAAUUUUUGAGCCUCCCUUCCUUCCAUGUUUCGUGAGUUGAUUAAUGCCACUAGGUAAAAAUCUAUGGUUUUAUGACUUAAAUGUUAGUUCUAGCUAGUGGCGAUUGAAACAAACAACUUGGUCAUUCUUUGAACUGAAUUAGACAAGGGUAUACUAUUAAUUGGUUUUGCUUUUUUGUUCCCAUAGAAUACAAUGCAUGAUUUUAGUUGUUAUCAUUUAUCAAUCUAGUUCCGUACGUGCAUGGUUUUCAAUUGUUAAAAAGCAAGGAAUUAUUGGUAAUAAUCGAGGAAUGAGCAACGUUUCCCACUACGAUUAAUCCUUUGCAUGAAGCUUCAGAGGAUUGGGGUACCUAUUUCUCCCCCAUUCCAUCCACCCUAGCUAUAGCUACUUGAAAAAGAAAAACCCAAUUUUUUAAUCACAAAAAAAUGGCCUCACAUGAAUGCUGUUCAUUUCUUUAAUCUCCCUUUGUUUCUCUUAUUUCAUUGGAUGCCCUCCAUAUUCCCUCUUUUGACUUUCAUCACUUUUGAAACCCAAUCUUCACCCCCCUUUUUUUUUAUUGCGUUUUAAUUUUGUUGUUAGUUUCGGUAUUGUUAUGAAUUUUAUCAAUUUUAGUUAUAUAAUUUCAAUCCUCAAGUUUGAUUUUUUAAAUCAAAUUUUAUUAUUAAUCCUAUAUUAUAGGUAAGUUGUGAAUUUAGUCAUUAUUUUCUAUUUUAAUUCCUUCAAUUUAGUUAUUUUUAGUCCUUAUAUUAUAAGUAAGAUGACGAUGUAUUUUUGUAAAUAUUAUGUGAAAAUAACAAGCUAACAAUAUUAUAUUACACAUGCAAUAUAAUAUUAUUGAGUAAUAUUUUUCUCAUAUCCCAUUGAGAUGAAUGUUGGGGGUAUUUAUACAUCCUCUUACCGUUACUAUUAUAGUUCAUAAUUGGGUCCACUAUUUUGUCUUGACCUUGGGGCCUCCGGUACUAACAUUCUCUGCCUCUAGUGUUGACAUUCUCUGCACGCUCCUUGGCUUGCUGGACGCUUGUCUAUGUAAUACGCGGUCCUUUCUAAUCCUAGGAUUGACAUCCUUAGCAAGCUUCGUACCCGUUGGUCACAAGUCUAGAUUACUUGUAGGGCUUGCAAUCCUUCCUGCAAACAUAGUUCGUGACCCCAUCCUGCGAGGUGCGCCCUUGAACUCUUCUUGUGAGCUAUCUUGGCGAACACGCCUCUUCCGAGUCGAGCCCACCCGAGUCAAGGGUUGGAGACCCGGAUCUUUUUAGGACAUUUGGGUUGGCAAUUAUGGAUAUAUAAUAAAUAUGUUUGUCGAAUAAUAUUUUAGAAAUAAAAGAAUUUAAAUUAACAAAUUUAAUGGAUACCAUUUGAUUUAAAAUUGAAAUUUCAAAAAUAUAAAAAUUAAAAAUGACCAAAUUAUAAGAACUAAAUUUGAAAUACUAACAAUCAAUAUAUUCUUUGAAUGGAGAAAUCAUUUUUCUACCAAUUGAAUUGGUGAACAUUAUUUGAUUUAUUUAUGUUAAUCCAAUAAAAUUAGGGAAAUUAUUUGGUAAAUUAUUAAUGGAGCUUUUAGAUCUAAUAAAUAGAGAUUAAGGGUUUGAUAAAUAUUCUAUAAGAGUAUAUUAAAAUAUUAAAAAAUAAAUAUUUAAAAAAGAAGAAACACUUCUCAAAAUUUCAGAACUACUUAUAAAAUAAAAAAAAAAUACACCAUCAAUAUAUCAAAUAUUGGCUUAUAAAAUUAUAUUAAUUAUAAAUUACAAGGUAGACCUAGAAGAUAGAUAUCCCUAGAAAACAUAAAAUAAACCACUAUUAAUAAAACUCAUAAAAUAGGGUGAACUUAAAAUGCUUGUCAACAUAUAGGUUUGGAAUCUUGUAAAGCUAAAUUACAUAUAGAUUUGAGGUUACUUAGUUGGGCUAUCAUGGAUAAGUAGAAGAAUUUGAACAAUUUAUCUAGCAAACUUUUUUUAUUUUUUGAAGAACACUUGGUUAAAACCUAAACUAUAGUUGUUAUUUUGUAUUUUUAUGAGAUGACCAGUCAAAACCCAAAUAAUGCAAAACCAUAUAAAUUCAACAAAUAAGGAGAAUGGGCAUAAAAAUAUUGAACAAUCCACAAGGAUUUGAUCUGUAAAAUUAUGUUAAACAUGUUUCUGCUUAAUCCUGGAUUAUAUGGGCAAAAAUAGUUGGCAAAAGAAGAAAUUAAACCCCACCAACCGGCAUAAACACAUUACAAUAUUCAUAAUAAUGUGGUCUAAACACCCUCUUAAAAUAAAUCUGUCUAACUACAUGUAUUUUAUUUGUCUUAAUCACCUAGCUCUUGUAGGUUUUAGAAUGGGAUUUCAACUUUGAUUCAAUCAUGGUUCAUAAAUAAUAAAGGUAGCCAUUGGCACUGCCAUGAAAGUUCCUCCCUUUUGUCUACACUUGAAACUUGUUUAUUUAUGUGGCCCUUAAGGGGUCUGAUAUCUUGCAUGGUCAAAAUCUCAGAUCAUGCCCUAUCCAAAUAAAAUUAUUGGUUUUGAAUGGAUUCAUUGUAUACCGAAGGAUCAAUUUUUUUUUUAAAUGACAAUGAUGAAUGCGACAUAAGAACUUUUGUUUUGUGUUAUACAUUCAUGUUUUUGGUUCAUGUCCUGUCUAAUCCGUACUAGUACCCAAGAUUUUAUAUAUAAUUGGAUAACAUUACAUUACAAGUAUCUUAUUAUCUAUAUAUGCCAAUAUAUUUUUAUAAAAAAAUAAAAUAAAAUUACCAAUAUAUUCAUAUCUAAAACAAAAAUGAAAGUUGUUGUUAAUAUAGACAUUAAGGGUGUAUUUAGUAUUACUUCUAAGAAUCAUUGUUGGGAUAAAAAAACACUUUUGAGACCAAAACAUUUCUAAACAAGUUACUUUUUCAGAGAAAAAAUGUUUUUCCCAAGCAAGAAAUUGGCUCAUAAGCACUUUUUUGAUAACCUGAAAAUUUUAGCUUCUUCCUAAAAUUAAUUUUUUCCUCAAAAAAAUACUUUUGAGAAGUAUUAAUAAACUAAGUCUUAAGUAUGGGCAUGUAUGUCGCGCCAAAUAAGUGUAAUUAUUUGUAUAGGAUUCUUUUUCAUUAGCUAAAAACAUUGUCUAAUAUGAUUACAUAAAAAUAUUUGAAAUGGUAAUUUCCCAUACAAUACAAAAUUAGUAAAGGUAUCUAUAAUAAAGUUUUGAUUUGUAUGGAUAGGUGAUUAAAGUUUUUAUGAGACACUCGUUUGAUACAGAUUCAAAUCGUGUGACACUCGUUUGAUAUUUAAUAAAUUUUUGAAGGUAACAUAAAAAUUUUAAUAAACAUGGAAAAAAUAACAAUAUAAUACAAUUUUUGAAGGUAAUAACAUAGUAUAUUUAAACAUUAUAAGCAAUGAUGGUUAUUUUUUUAAAGUUACAACAACUAAUUAACGUAUCAACGGCUCCAAUCAAAAUAAAUCAUUACAAAUACUGAAAUGAAUAUUUGGCUCAAACUAACUACUCAAGUAAACUAAUUAACUAACCCACACAUAAUUCUUGCAUGGUAAGACUUAAAUCUAAGCGCUCAAAAUCCGAGUGCCACCAAUACUAAUUAAUUAAUACAAAUAUUGUAUCUCUAUCUAAAUUUUUGGUGUGUAUUAUCAAAAAAAAAUUGCAUACAUACAAAUUCUCAUGUCUAUAUGAAAAGUAUAUCCCAAUCGAAUUAAAUAGUUGAUAUUGAAAUGUAGAAAAAUAACUUAAUUGAAUGUGUGAUGAGUAGCGGAAUUGAAGGGUAAGUGUGUACAAAGUAGAAAUAUCCCAAAAUUUACGUGACAUUUUCUUUUCGAUGGAAUGUAAUGCUUUGGCCUAAUUUAUUAGAUUAGGAAGAAAAGAAAGUUGAAGAGGAAGAAAUUUAACCCCACCAACCGGCAAAAAUACAUCUCAAUUAAUUAAUUUGUCUAAAUUAAUCACCCUAAAAUAAAACAUCUUAUCCUAAUAAUUUUCAAAGAAAUUCAUGAAAGUGAAAGGCUUUAAAAAAUCAAUACUAGGAGCACUUAUACGUAGGGUUAGUUUUAUUAAAACUCCUCAGAUUAUAGUUCAUAUUCUAAAUUCAUCUUUAAAUUUCAAGUGUUUUAUUUGAGUUAUUAAUAUAUCAAAGUAUUGUAUCAAUUCUAUCCUUAUUAGCCUAAACCCACAAAUUUGCACCUAAAUUAUACCUUUUUUUCCAUCUUGAUACUUAAACAUUUUUUUUGUCAAAAAUAGUACCUAAAUUAUUAUUUUUUUCGCAAAUUAGUACCUCCGUUAGUCAAACUAUUAAGUUUAUAUUUAAAAAAAAAACAAUUUAACCCAUAAAUUAGUACCUAGACAAUACAAUUUUUCUCAAGUUGGUACCUAAACUUUUUUUUUAAUCUUAACUGAUAUAUUCGUUAAAAAAAUUCUAGUUAAUAAUAGACUGCCACGUCAUAUAAACUUUAAAAAAAUAAUUUUUAAUAAUUUUAUUUUAUUUUACAUUCUCUCUCUCUCUCAUACUCGAAAUUUGCCCUCCCAAAGUUGAGACAUUGGCAAUUAAUUUGUUUUUGAACUUCACCACUAUUUACUUGACUUGAUGUAUUUGAAAAAGUUCUUUCAUUGAUCAAACUAGUAUUUUCAAAAUUGAAUCGUACUAGUUGGACCAAGAACCUGAUGGGUAUCAAUCUGGAGCUAAGAUUGAAUCAAUUGACUUGCAAAUUGAUAUAAACCGAUUGAACCGAGCUAAAAACCGGUUGAAUUGAUUUUCUUUAUAUUUAAAUAUGAUUUAUUUUUAUAAUUUUUUAAUAAUUUAUUUUAUUGAAUCACACGAAUUGAUCAAAUUGAGAAUUGUUGGCUUUGACUGAUUCGACCAUCGAUCCUAUUCUAAAAACCUUGAUUAAAACCAUGAAGCCCAAAAUACUCACACUUGUAGAAGAAAUAUAAGAUGAGAGGAAGAAGAAAGAAAAAAUAUAAAAAAUAUAAAGUGAAAAGAAAUAUAUAUAUAUAAAGAAAAUAUUUUUUUUCCUUUUUUUACCACGUGAUAAUUUUUAAUUGGUUAUCUCUUUUUUUUAAAUUGACUUAACAAUUAAGCUAACGAAUAUACAACUUGAGAAAAAAAAAUUAGGUACCAUUUAUGAAAAAAAAAUAGGUAUUUAAAUGAGAAAAAAAACAAUUUAGAUACCAUUUGUAGGUCAAGAUUUUUUAAGAUAAACUUAACGGUUGGACUAAUGGAAGUAUCAACUGAGGAAAAAAAAUAUAAUUUAGAGAUCACUUAAACAAAAAAAAAUUAAAUAUCACUUAUAACAAAAAUAAAAAUAAGUAUCAAAAUAUAUAAAUAUAUAUAAUUUAAACACUUAAAUUAUUUUCCAUGAAUGUUAAGUUUUGGCCUAAUUUAUAUUAGAUUAGGAACAAAAUAAAGUUGAAGAAGAAAGUUUAACCCACCAACUGGCAAGUUUAACCCACCAACCGGCAUAAGCACACCUCAAUUAAUUAAUCUUAUUUAAAAAAUCAAUGUUAGUGGGUGAUUGGUUUUUAUCGCAUGAUAGAGAUUUGUUCUGUUUUUAAAGCUUAAUUGGAGGAAUUCUUGAUUGUAACACCCCUAACCCGUAUCCGUCGCCGAAUUAGGGUUACGAGGCAUUACCGAACAAACACAACUAUUUUUAAAACCAAACUGAUCACAAACAUGAAAAUUUAAUCAUUUUCGCAUAGCUGUUUAUAAUUUACAAUCAAAAUCUAACUAACAUCGUACUCAAACCUAUACAUGCCAUAAGAUCAAGUUCAAAUAUUUAACAAAAUACCAAAAGAAGUCGAUAGUGUGAUAGACUAUGCUGAUGAUCCCUGAGCUCGUAACGCGUCUCUAAAAUCUAUAAAAACAAAUGGACAAAAACAAUCAAAGUAAGCUUUUAUAGCUUAGUAAGUCUAUAGCAUAUCUAAAAAUACAUAUAAAAGAAUCACAUAAUUCUUUAAGUAAAUUUAUUGAAAUCACAAAUAUCAAAUAUAAUUACUAACUAAACAUUGCUAUAUUGAGUCAUUUUGUUUAAAUCUAAAAGAAUGUAUAUUUAACUAAUAUACAUAAACGGACAAAGGUAUAUACAUUAUAUGCAAAUAAUCAAGUUACUAACAUAAUCAUUAACUGCAUAUACUGAUUUCUAAAGUACUUAUUGUUCGCACUUCAUCGGAUCCAUUUAUAUAUAAUUAUUCAAUUACAUAUACCAAAAGCAUAACUUUUAUACUUAUCAACUAUAAGUGCCGAAUGCACAUAUUCACUUAUACCCACCUAUGCCGAAUGCAUACAUAUACACAUUUAAAUAUCCAACAAUUUCAUGACAACUGAUAUAUAUAUACAUACUCACUAAUCACAAAGAUUCGAACGAUUAUAUACUCAUCAAACAUCUUGAAACAAUGUUCAUAUAUUUAUCCAUUUCAUUUAAUUAAAAUCAUAUAUAUAUUUAUACCCAAUGCUUAGAAUCACUUAAUUUAAACAGAUUCACUGGCACUUCACCUUAUAGACUUAUAGUCUAAUUCCGUUCACCGGCACUUAGCCUGCUAGGCCUAUAGCCUGAUUCAGUUCACCGGCACUUAGCCUGCUGGACAUAUAAUCCGAUUCAAUUCACCGGCACUUAGCCUGCUGGACGUAUAGUCCGAUUCAAUUCACCGGCACUUAGCCUGCUAGACGUAUAGUCUGAACAAUUUCACUGGCAAUAAAUCCGAUUGAUACUGAGCUUUAAUAAAAAAAUCUCAAUUCACAGAAGUUGUAUCUCUUAUUUGUAUAUAAAAUCCACAUACAAUUUAGCUCAAUAUUCAUAACUUAUGUCUGUAAAAUACAUGGAUAGAUAUAAAUCCCAAUCAUCAAAUCUAGCUUAAAUAAUUCAAUGAUUCAACCGAAACACAUUUAUGUAUACAUAACCUCAUACUAUAGAUUCCACUUCUAAUACCAUAAAAUUUAACUUAUAAUAUACUAGGUACCUUAAACAUUUGAAUUCCCUAUAUACCUAUAUAGUUUCAUAUACCAUUUCAAUACAAGAUCUUAUACAUGUACAUAUAUGCAUAUUCGAAUCUAACAACCAUAUAUUACUCUAUACUUAUUUUCGAAACAAGAACAUAUACCUAAAUACUCAUACAUAUUCGAAUUUAACAUAUAUAUGUAUAUAUAUAAUUGAAUAUAAUUUCAUACUUAUACUCAAUAUAAUUAUUAUUCAUAAGUACACAUACUUAUUCACUUCAACUUAUACAAAUGUUCAAAUAUAUCUCAUACCUUUGAAAUUUCAUACCUAAAUUCAAUACAACAAAUUUUACAUAUAUAUACAUGUAUAUUCGAAUAUAAUUUAUACAUAUAUGUUCAUAACUAAAUUUAUUACAUGGACAUUCAUAUGCAUAUUUGUAUAUUCAUAGCCAUUCGACUCUAACAUAUAUAUGUAUACAUAAUUUCAUACUUUCAAAUUCCAAAUUUCUUUCUUUUAUACUUUUUAAAUUUAACUCAACACACAUACCAUUGAUAUACAUACUCAUAUGUUGAUUUAAUAAAAUUAAAUAGCUAAUAGACUUACCUCGGAUUUCAGCGGACACGAUCGACUAUUCGAUUACUUUCGUUUUUCCCCGAUCCAAAUUCGUUUUCUUCGUUUCUUGAUCUAAACAUAAUCAAAUUUAACCUUUUUAUUCAUCAAAACAUUCAAUUAAGUCCAAAAAUACAUAAAUGGAAAAAUUACCAUUUUACCCCUAACAUUUUACACUUUUUGCAAUUUAGUCCUUUUUGCACAAAACACAAAAUACACAAAAUUUGCCUACACUACGCUAGGGCCGAAUGUUCCUUGUCUUCAUACAAGUCCACACAUUUCAUUUAUUUCGCAUUUUAGCCUUUCAAAAAUAUUAUUUUGAAAUUUAACCCUAAUUACUCAAUUUCACCAAAAAUUCCAAUACAAAACAUAUUAAUCUAAAACAUAUCUUUCAUUAUUCACUAUCAAACAUCACAAAACACAAUUAUUCAUCAAUGGCAUAGACCAAAAUAUUCAUCAAAAUAAAAAAUUCAAGCAUGGGUCAGAUAGUAUUCGAAGUAGAGCUGCUCAUGGGCCGGGCCAGGCCGGGUUCGGCCCGGGUCCUAGGCCUGGGCCCGGCCCGACCCGAAAUAUGGGUCUAGAAUUUUGCCCAAGCCCGGCCCGGGAAAAAAUUCAUAAGCCCGGGCCCGGCCCGUUUUUUAAAUAAAUACCAAAAUUUUAUUUUAAAAAUUAAAAAAAUUUAUUUUAAAAAUAUUUUAAAAUUAAAAAAGUAUUUUAAAAAUAUUUUAAAAUUAAAAAAAUUUUAAAAAAGUAUUUUAAAAGUAUUUUAAAAUUAAAAAAUAAAAAAAUUUAUUAUAUUCAGGCCGGGCCGGGCCGGGCCCGGGCCAAAAAAGUGGUGCCCGAGGCUCGGCCCGUUUUUUAAUCGGGCCUCAUUUUUUGCCCAAGCCCAUAUUUCGGGUGGGCCGUCGGGCUGGGCCGGGCCGGGCCGCCCGGCCCAUGAGCACCUCUAAUUCGAAGCAACGAUAUCAAAAACGUAAAAAUUAUCAAAAACCGAGCUAAACACAUACCUUAAUCAAGCUUAGACAAAACCGAACCCUAGGAACUCUUUUUCUUUUCUUUUUCUUUUAAGUUUCGGCAAUGGUGAUGAAAAAGAUGAACAAGUGAUGUUUUGUUUUAUUUUUAUUAUCAUUAUUAACAUAAUUACCAAACUAUCCUUAAUGAAAUAAUAUAAAAGCUAAAAAAUGAUAGUCCACUACCGUCCAUACUAUCAUUUAGUGGCCUAAUUUCAUUUUAAGGCCUCCACAUUAAAAGAACAUAGCAAUAUAGCACUUUAACAAAUAGCAAGUCACUUUUAUAAUUUAUGCGAUUAAGUCCAUUUAUAAAAUUAAAUAACCAAUCGGUAAAAUUAAUUUACGAAAAUUUCACACAUGCAUUCUAACAUGCUUUAAACACAUAAAAUAUAAUUAAAAUAUUUUUAGGACUCGGAUUUGUGGUCCCAAAACCACUAUUCCGAUUAGAGUCAAACCGGGUUGUUACAUUGAUGGUGUGUCAUUGACAGAAGGAAUACUUCAUGACAGAAUUUUGAUACAGACCGAUAAUAUGGAUGUUAUUGGGACCAUUAAGGAAUCCUUUUUGAAGGAGUCAAAUUCUGCUUUAAUAAGAUGCAUUAAUCAACUCUUACGGAAGGAGACAAACUAGUCCAUAGAUUAUGUUCCUAGAGAAGACAACAUGGAAGUUGAUCAAAUAUGGAAGUUGAUCAAAUUAUUAAGUUGGCUUUUGAUAGAGAGGAAGUCGGCUAUUUUACAAAAAUAAUACAAAAAAAUAAAAAAAAAUACCUAAAUAUUAUAUCUUUUUUUAUUUACCAAAAUGGUACAAAAAAAAACAGUUAAAAAAAAACCUGAAAGAAGGGCCUGCCACAGGCGGUACCUUUGGUGCCUGUGGCAAAGGCGGCACCAAUUGUUCGUAUUUCGACCCUUUGUUCGUAUUUUUUUUCGGAUUUUAUUAUUUUAAAAAAUAUAAUAUUUUCUAAUUUUAUUAUUUUACAUUAUUUUAGUACAUUAUAUUUGAAAUGUAUUCAUUUAGUAUGUUUUUUAAAUAAAUUUAAAAAAAACCCUUAUUUCGGCCCUUUGUUCGUAUUUUUUCCUGGAUUUUAUUACAUUCAAUAAAAAUAUAUUAUUUUCGUAUUUUAUUAUUUUACAUUGUUUUAGUACAUUAUGUUUGAAAUGUAUUAACUAAUUUUGUUUUUUAAAUAAAUUUAGUAAAAAACCCUUAUUUUGACCAUUUGUUCGUAUUUUUUCCUUAGAUUUUAUUACUUUUAAAAAAUAUACUAUUUUUUAAUUUUAUUAUUUUACAUUAUUUUAGUACAUUACAAUUGAAAUGUAUUCAUUCAGUGUGUUUUUUAAAUAAAUUAAAAAAAAACCCCUUAUUUCGGCCAUUUGUUCAUAUUUUUUCCCCGGAUUUUAUUACUUGCAAUAAAAAACACACUAAAUGAAUACAUUUCAAACAUAAUGUAAUAAAAUAAUGUAAAAUAAUAAAAUUAGAAAGUAGCAUCUUUUUUAAAAGUAAUAAAAUCUGGAAAAAAAAAUACGAACAAAGGGCCGAAAUACGAAAAAUUGGUGCCGCCUCUGCCACAGGCACCAAAGAUACCGCCUGGGGCAGGCCCUUCUUUCAGGUUUUUUUUUAAACUGUUUUUUUUUGUAUCAUUUUGGUAAAUAAAAAAAAGUUAAACUAUUUUGAUUUUUUUUUUGUAUUAUUUUUGUAAAAUACCCGAGGAAGGCUUACAAAUGCAGUUUCUCCUCUAGUUUCUUUUUAGUUCUUUUAUUUAUUUUUGUAACACUUCUUUUAUUCAUAAAAUAAAAAAUCAAUGCUAGGAGCACUUAUAAAUAGGGUUAAUUUCAUUAAAAGUCCUCAAAUUAUAGUUCAUAUUCUAAAUUGAUUUUUAAUUUCAAAUGUUUUACUUGAGUUCUUAAAAUAUCAAUAUUGUAUCAAUCAUACCAUUAUUAGCCUAACCACUAGUUUAGACAUUAAAUGUUGGUUUGGAUUUGAAGUGAAGCAGAUUUUAAACUACCCGAAUCAAAUUGUAAAUACGUUUGUACCUACCAUAUAGGCAACUUAAUUUGAUGUGUUAAAAAAGCAAAUAGUGUAAACCAUUUUCUUAAUAUAUUAGAUCCAAGCUAUUGACACAUGUUUUUAUAAUUUAACCCACGUACUUUAAUUAUGCUCCAUGCUAAAUUUGAGCGGACAUUUAAUAUUUAAAUUAACGGUUAUAUUAUUUAAAAAUGUGAUUAAUAAAAAGUUAGAUAUUUUGGAAACUCUUAUUAAAUUUGAAUACCAAUGUAAAGUUUUGGUGCAAUUUUAUUUUUGUAUUUUGUUUUAUGUUAUAGAUUCAUAUGUUGUUGGAUUUCCUCAUAUUCUAACAAAUCAAUUAAACAAUAAUAUAAACUUUGGAAUGAAGAAACAAAUAUUAUAAAUUAGAAGUAUUCAUGGUUGUCACAUUUAUUUUCCAGACAAAGCAAAUCAAAUAUUUUUGCAUCAUCAUGCAUUUAUUAAAUAAAAGGGUUCAUGAAUAAUGCAUGAAAACUUCCAUUUUUUAUUCAUGAUGUCAAAAAUGGGAUUUCAUGAUUAGAAAUAAAAGAAGAAAAGGAAGAAACAGACCUUUCCUAAGAUAAGCUCAGAUUUGGUCUGGAUUAUGUAGACCAAUAGAAUGAGAUAUGAAGUUAUGAAAUAAAUCCAAAUAUAUUCCAAGAGAAAGGACAUCUUCUUGGAAACCCCUUUCCUACUCUUCCUUCCAUAACCAUGUAGACCAGUCAAUUUUUUUAUAAUAAAAAAUUAAGUCUGCUCAGCUGAUAAUGGGUAAUUUUAGGAUUCGAAUUUGAUCUUAUAAAUAUCUAGGAAAGAAAUUUACUUUCACUUUUUUCAAUCAUUGGUUGAAAUUUAGAGAUUAAUUUUCAGUGUAUGUACUUUUUAAAUAUACGACUAUUUAAUAGUUUUGGGUGAACUGAUGUAAUUUGGUGGAAGAUGUUCUUCGGAUUUCGGAAGUAUCCUCCAUAAAAGAGGCAAACACAUUCAAUCUAAACACGUGCAACAUUCUAAUAAAUUCCAUACAUGUUGACUUUUGAUUACUUACUAUUCCUUAGUUAGAAAGUUUUAAUAUUGACGAGUCAGGGUAAUUGCACCUAUCAAAGAAAUUUAAAAGGCUGUUAAAUGAAUUUCAAUUUGUUAACUAUUACUUACCAAACCUUGUUUUAUAAUUUAAUUUGAUUCUGUAGUCCAAAUAAUCGAGUAUAGUAGUAAUUAGCAAACAAGAAUACUUGUACAACCCAACAAACUAAGGCCAUUCCCAAUGAUCCACAUAUUAAAAUCUUGCCUAUAAUGGAUAAGCAGAAGAAUUUGAACAAUUUGUCCAGCUUUGGAACACUUGGUUAGAACUUAAACUAUAGUUUUUAUUUUGUAUUUUUUACGAGAUGACCAGUCAAAAGCAAACAAGGAGAAUGGGCAUAAAAAUAUUGAACACUCCACUAGGAUUUGAUCUGUAAAAUUAUGCUAAACAUGUUUUUGCUUAAUCCUGGACUAUAUGGGUAAAAAUAGUUGGCAAAAGAAGAAAUGAAACCCCAACAACACAUUACAUUCAUAAUAAUGUAGUCUUAAAACCCCUUAAAACAGAUCUGUCUAAUUAUAUUUUUCUUAAUCACCUAGAUAUUGUAGGUUCUUGAAUGGGAUUUCAACUUUGAUUCAAUCAUGGGCUCAUAAAUAAUAAAGGUAGCCAUGAAAGUUCCCAACUUGAAACUUAUUUAUGUGGCCCUUAAGGGGUCUGAUAGCUUGCAUGGUCAAAAUCUCAGAUCAUGCCCUAUCCAAAUAAAAUGAUUGGUUUUGAAUGGAUUCAUUGUAUACCGAAUGACAAUGAUCCAUGCAUUUAUAACAAGUUUUGUUUUGUGUUGUGUUAUACAUUCAUGUUUUUCGGUUCAUAUCCGUACUAGUACUGGAGAUUAUAUAUAAAGUUGGAUAGCUUUUUAACUAGAAGGUCUUAUUAUCCAUAAUUCUCAAUAUUUUUCAUAUCUAAAACCAAAUGGCGGUAUUCGUUGUAGAUAUAGACAUGGUGCCAAUAAGUGUUGUUAUUUCUAUCUUUUCUCUUACCUAUAAACAUUGAGUAGAGAAAAAUAUUUGAAUACUAUAAUUUAAACAUUACUUGUUGAAUACAAAUAUUAUGAGGAUUUUUGACGCAUAAUAACUUGUGUUGUAUCAUCCGGUGACCACGACGGUGAUUGGAUGAAAGGGAUGGUAAGAGAUAUCCCAAGGGCUUCUAGUGUCCAUGCCGAAUUAUGGGCCUAAAUCUCUUGGAAUUAGUUGUCAUGAGAUCAAACUUGAUGCCACUGCUGUUAUUAAAGCUAACCUUGAUAAUCAAAUGCUCACGAUAUUGAUUCGAGGCUUCUUAUGAAACAUAUGUUUAGAGAAGGAAAUCAAUGUGUUAGGCAGCAACUCUAUGGAACCUCGGACUGCCCAAGUAUUGGAUUUUGGUUUUGUUGUUAACUGCUAUGAACCCUAUUUGUAUUAAAGAUUUGCUACAAUGAGACGUGGUAUAUAUACGUUUUUUUCUCAUUGAAUGUUGGAAUUAUACGAAAUACAUUCAAAUAAAUAUCUAAAACAACGGAGAUCUACUUGGAAUCCCUUUCCUACUCUUCCUCCUGUAAGAAUGUGGAGUUUGAUUAAUUCGAAUCCUCUCACCAUUCAUCUGCAAUAUAAUUUUUAGAUUAAAAUACCGUUAAAUUAAACCUAUUCGAUAUAAAAUUUAUUCAUCAUGUUUGUUGUAUAUGAAAUUAAUGAACUGUUUUUAAACUAUGAUUAUGAGAAAAACUGUGGGUGUUUGUGGAGAGGAACUUACAUGAAGAGUUUGGUGAGAGGGAUGAUGUUCCUUGGAUUCCAAGCAUCCUUCACCCGUACAAUCUAAACAAGACGAUGUAUAUUUAGAGGCAUGGGUCUCACAUAAACUAAACAACUUGGCUUCCAAAGAUGGCAAUACCCCGCUACUUUCAACCUUAUUCUGUUCCUCCAUUCUUAAUUUCUUUAUUUCACAAUUCACAUAUGAAACUCCUCCUAAUAUAUACGUAUUUGUAUUACUCACAUAUAUGAGAAUAAGGAAAUCAUAGUUCUAAGAGAAGUAGGACACAAGUUUUCCAUAUUGUAUUAGGAAUUCCUACUAUUUCCCUUUUUUGUUGGAUGACGAUUUAACUACAUUAAUAACAAAACAAAUUCGAGGGUGACUUUAUGUACUUUUUGUUAUUGCAUAACAUCUGAAAAACAAAAGAGUGAAGUUCAUUAAUACAUCUCUUAUAUUUUUAGUCAAAUAAAUAUAAGUUAGACAAUGCUAAACUUUUGUACCCUUACCCUCAAGCAUUCCCUUCAAAAUUGAACUAAACUAUAACAUGAAAAUUGAGAAUUUCAGUUCAUAGGUGAGGCAAUGGAGGUUGAUUUUGACUUUGGAACAUGGAUUUGCUUUUUAAGUCUGUUCAUUGAUGGGACAAUUGUCGAGAUAAUAAUGGAGGGGUGAUUUGAGGGCUUUGGAAUGUUUGGCUGAAAUUGGUGGAUUUUUAAGGGGUAAUUAAGAAAUGGCCCUAAUUGGUCAUUUUGGUACAACCGCAAGGGACCCUUUGCAGUUGUAGCUGCAGUUUUUCUUUCACCACCUGCAAGAAUUUGCUGAAUGUUAUAUUUUUAAUAAACUGUAUGAACUAGAUAAAUGAAUCAUUGAAUCGUAAAUUGGCAGCAAACUUUAUUCAAAAAACAUUGAAAUUCAAUUUUAUCGUUCAAGAUUUUGAUGUUUGUAUAUGAUACUGUCAAUGUACACUUCUUAAUUUGAACAUCUAAAGAACUGUCAGGAUCUGCCUGCUGAACUUUUUUGUGUAUGAAGAAAGGGUUGGAACUAGGAAGUUGCGAGUCGCUACAAAGACGAAAGGAGCCAAAGGUUGAAGAGAGUUGAAGCAAAGGAUAGAAACCACGACAUGAAAGCCAUAGCUGCAGACAACUGAUAUCUACUGCAUAUCUUUGACGGGCAAUAUGUUGAGCUGACAUUGACCAAGAGACUUGUCACACUAGCAGUUGAGCAAGCCGCGGCUAGUGAGAGAAAUGACAAGGCCUGCAAUCAGAUAAAACACAUGUUUUUACAUCAAAUUAUGAUAAGGGAUAACACCAUGGUGAUGAUAUGCAUAAUAAGCCUUGUAACAUACCCAGUCUCCAACAAUGACAACCAGCAGUACCCUUGGUUGUCGUGGUAAGCCUUUAACGAACACGGAAUAUGCAUCAACCAAUGCUAAUGACACACUCCAUGGAGUCACUAAACCCAUGACUGUCACCAAGUAGCUGCGAAAAAAUUUAAAGGAAAAUUGGAGAUUGAUUUAUCACCCAACAAUUGGUGACCAACAAUGAAAACACAAACAUUCUCUUCUAUAUCAUUAUAUCUAAUGAGCAAUUGAACAUUAUAGUUUGUACCUGCAAUUGAUCGAACAACACCACAGACAAGGCAAGUUUAGACAAUAGAAGACCUUAUCCUAUGGCAAUUUUUUAUCAUUCAAUAGCUUCUGUUACUAGUGCAAGGGCUUUGAAAUUGCAAGAACAGAUACGGUAAAACGGCCACGCCAGUCAUAGCAAAUUGGUACUUAUGGUCUUAUGUUUUUGAAGUACAGAAUAAAGUGGUUAUAUUCAUUGUCUUAAGAUUGAUCCAGAUGGUUUGUGCUGAUCUAUAGAAGUUAGAUAGCAGAUACAGACAAUGCCUCAUUAUCUAGUUUCAUCUUUCCAGAAACAUGCAAAACACGAGGACCCAAGUCAAGGAAUAAAGUUUAAAUGCAAAAGCCAUACAAGACCACUAUCUACUUUUACAAUUCACCUUGUUAACUAUCUUGAUUCCCUUGACAUCAAGCUUAAUCAUCCUUGAUAUUAGCACUUGAUGAGCUAUUUGGUUCCGGCCAUUUUGUUAAUUGCUUAAAUUAAAGCCUUUUUCUUGUACAAAUGCUCCCAACAUUGUGCAUUUUAUACACAAAAAAAGACACAUUUUUUGCAUUUCCAUUCACCUAGUGAAAACUUUUAACAGAGGAAAAGUCCGGAAUCCAGCCUUGGAUAACAAAUAUCAUCAGCAAAUAAAUUAUAUUCUAUGGUCUAGUUCAACAACUAGCCAAGUAACAGGUCAUGUACAUUGAGAAUGGUUUUGAUAACUCUAAUUGUUGAAAGUCCAAAUUCAGUCAUCCAUACAAAAAGCAAUUGAUCUUUGCAUAUCCCUGAAUCAAAAUAGACUCUCAGAUAACUUUACCCUUUCAAUCAUUAAAUGGCACCUUUCCCUGCAGUCAUCCAUAAGCAAGAAGCAAGAUUUCCUGAAAAUGGCUUUUUUUUAAACCUUAAAUUGUUUUGUUUUCAUAAAAAAAAAAAUUCACCUAAUUCAUUUUCUCCCCAAGCCCAAAAGCCCUUCCCUUCAAAUAAUUUCCAUGAAGAUACCAGUGGAACCAGAAGUACUUUUGCUCUCUCCAACAUGGUAAAGCCGCUAUUUUACAUGGCAAAAAGACACACAAAGCUUGCCUAACCUCAAUCCAAAUCCUUAAAGACCAAUCACUAAAAUGAUCACGAUUGUGAUAGUUUUUCCCUGGAGGUUCCCAAAGUAACACCAGAACCAGCUAUUAAAAGUUGACAACGAAUUGAAUUCCGAGCAAAUAUCAGAAACAAAGAGGCAUGGGUAUUGAAGAUUAAAAGCCAAAGAGAGGAAGAAAGAUAAAAUAUGACCAAAUAAAUGGAAGAAUCUUAAAACGUUGACAGUUACCUGAAAGAAGUAUAGCUAUAGAAUUCAACAUCCAAACACAUAAAGAGAAGUGAAGCAGCGGAGAAAACAGUUUGUCCCAAACGAAGAGCCAAGCUGGCGCUUGUUCCCAACGCCCCUGGCACUGCUUCCAUCGUCCCUCAUGUCAUCUUAUCUCUCUGUUUCUUCAUCUUCAGUGUAUUCCCCUAAAACCCAAUAAAAAAGCAGAGGCCAAACACUAGGAGAAGGGAUUGAAGGGAUUGAAACAAUAGAAUUAGAGUAAAAAAGAAAAAGAGAGAAACAGUGGAGUCCUAGGAAUAGGAUGAAGAAAUGGAAAGAGAGGAAAAAGAGGAGAUGGGUAGGGUGAAUGAUGAAGGAUGAAGGAGGAGGAGGAGGCCAAGUUGUUGUAAUGGCGCUUUUGGGUCAAUGUCAAUUCUCUCUCUCAUUCUUAAUUUUACAAAUGGACUGUCCCUCUUUUCUCCAUUUUUGAUUCUUGUAAGUGGAUUCCCGGGGGUUGUCCACUCUUUUGACGAUGUAAAUAAUAAUGUGUCAUUCCUUCACGUAUAUACUACCAAGACACUGUUGAGUUGAAGCUACUAUAUUUUAUUUCUGAAAUGCAAAUGAAAUUCAAAUUGGUGAAAUAUUUAGAAAUUAAACAUUGAAUAAUUGGAACCAUACAAAGUUGAUUGCCGGGCCAAGACAAUUGGAACCCCACAAAAUGGUAUUUAAGAGAGAACAAAUUCCAUUUCUAAAGACGUGGUUCAUCUAUCCUACAGUUUGGAACACCCAUGAUUCAAUCAUUUCCAACCCAAUGUUUAUAAUAUUACUUGUCUAUCUGCUUCUGCUUUUUCAACACUUCCCUCUAAAUUAUACGACUUUCUCUAUUUCUUAUCUGUAUUUAUCAAAACACUACGGCAUCAGUUGACUUGUCAUUUUAGGCACCAAAUGCAAGGAAACUAUAAGUUUAUUCACACAAAACACUAUUUUGAUGAAUUCAAAAUUGUCUACACUUAGAUCAUCUUUCUUUUUCCAGAUUAUUAUUAUUAUUUAUAAAAUUAUCAUUUAAUAAAUAAAUUUCAUAUUUGAAAAUGAAAAAAAUAUAUAUUCAUUUAUUUAUAAAUAUUUUUAUAAUUUUCUACAUAUUUUUACCAAAAAUUAAACUUUUAAAUAUUUUGUUUUAUGUUUUUCUAAUUUCUAAAUUUUAUUUUUUAAAGAAUCAAGGCUAAAUUCACAAAAUGUAUAAAAUUGAGGGUUAAUUUAUUAUUAUGUAAAAAAAAAAGACCACCACUAAUGAGUUAACAAAGGGAUGACCAAAAUAUUAAAUUUUAAACUUAAAAUAACUAAAAUAAAAAUACACUAACAAUUUUGUAGUUUACCUAUAAACAUUUUCUGAAAUUGAAAAGAUAACCUUUUCUAGUUUCAGCCUUUUAUCAGACUUGUUGAAGAUGCUAAGAGGAGUAGUUUUAUUUGGUAUUAUUAUGUGGGUGGUACACUCAUUGAUUUAUUUAGUUAUUUCUUUGGCAAGUGAAGAGUUUGGGAGAGUAAAUUGGACAACAUUUAGGGUGUCAUUAUUCAUUUGAGUGCCAGCAUACUAGACUUAAAUCAAUAGUUGUAUAGAAAAUACUGUUUAAUGAAUUCAUUCUCUAAUCUAGACUCUUAAAAGUAGAAUUGUUUAAUCUAAAUUCGCCUCUUAAGUAAGGAUACCCAGAAGAAAAAGGUCAAGUGAAUCGUUAGGGUGUAUAUGAUUAACUUAUAGUUACUAAUAAAACAAAUAAUUUUAUAUCUCAAGUUCACGAGACAGAAAGAAUUGUAGUGAAAAAGUUUCACUAACAAUUUGGAUGGAAUGAAAUAAUUAUUUCAACUCUAUCCAAACAUCUAUAUAUAAUGUACAAAUAAAUACACAAGUGUCUUUUUGAAAAGUCUUUAAAAAUUUAUCAAAUAAACAAGAUUAUUCGGAUUUAAAAUCAAUAAAUAAACAUAUGUUUUUGACUUAAGGCACCAACUGGGACAUCAUUAACAUCUUUUCUUUCUCCUUUCAUGAUUGCAAAAAUAUAUGCAUAUCACAUAUAUAAAUAUAUAUUAUAUAACUAUGUAUCAAUCAUAACUAUGCAUGUAAAAUAUCAUGUAUAUAAUAAACUAACUUUUGAUUUUCAUAAAACAUUAAUGCAUUAGACAUUAUACUUUUAAAUCAAAUUCAAGCAACAUGAAUAAAAUGAUAAAUUUGACAUACAUGUCCUCGCGAUAAAGGUUUCUUCUAAAUCAAUUUUUGAUAAGAUUAUUGACCUUGAUGCAUUUACAUUUGUCAAUAGCCAUCCUUUUAGUAUCAUGCUUGUAGUGUCGUGUAAAUAAAUACGCCUUCAUUAAUAUCUGAUAAGUUUUCCAAAAAAAAAAAUCUUAAAAUUGUUGGCGUGUGGAGAUAAAAUAAUCUUAUUAGAAAUUAACCGAAGGCUUCAAGGCUUGUAACCAUGCCACUAUUUUUAAGGAUGAAGGAUAAUAAAAAGAAACUUUUGAAGUUGUUCUUUAUAGAACAAUCUAAGAAUAUUAGAAGAUGAAGGAGAAUAAAAGAAACUUUUGUUUUUCAACUUUUGAUGUGAUUUUGGUGUUACAUACAAAUGAAAUUUCACUCCUAUUUAUAUGACAUAACUUUUGAUAUUUAAGUGACAUACAUUAUCACUAUAAAUAGUGACAACUCUUGAUCAAUAAUCAAGUGAUACAACUCUUGAUUACUUAUAACUUUGGCAUAAUGACUUCUUUAACCUUUCAACUUUACAAAAAAAAAUCAUUUUAGCCAUCCAUUUUUUUUUGUUCGUUUUAGCAUUUGAACUUGUAUUUUUUGUCACAUCACCUCAAAAUGGAUGGAAAAUUUAAUGUUUGUUAACUCUAUUGAUGCGGCAUACAUGUAGAUAGCCAUGUAAAUGACAUGUCAACAUUUAAUUAAUUUUUUAAAAUUUAAAAUUAUUAAAAAUAUAAUUUUAAUGAUUUUAAUUUUAAAAAAUAGUUUUAUAUUUUUAAAAUUUUAAAAAUUAAUUAAAUGAUGAUAUGUCAUCCACGUGGCAAUUCACAUAUAACAUUAGCAAAAUUUUUAAAAAAAAUUGACUUUUCCAUUCAUUUUGGGGUGAUUUAAUAAAAAAUACAAGUUUAAGGGCUAAAAAGGCAAAAAAAUAAAUGAAGAGCUAAAAUAGCUUCUUUUUUUGUAAAGUUAAAGGGUCAAAUAAGUCAUUAUGCCUAUAACUUUUCAUUUACAACUAUUAAAACCCUAUAUUAGAAAUGUUACUACAAAUAUUUCUCCUACAUGUGAAAGACCUACAAAAUUAAUGAUAUCUUAAGUUAAGAAGCUGAAACUAGAGUUAAUGAAAUUUCAACCCUAAAAACUCUAGUCUUUUAAUUUCCUAUAGGUAAAGUGUAGUAAAAUCCUGAAGUUACUCUAGGAUUUCAUAUCUUUUAUCUACUCCAAAAACCAUACUUGUGUCUUUUAAUCAAUGACAAAACAAACCCAACAAUUUUAUCCAAUCAUUAGGAUGGGUUUAUACAUGUUUAAUUAUGUUGUAAUUCCUAUAAAUUAUUAUACAACAAUAAAAGUUAUUUUGAAGCGUUCGAUAGCAUCAAGGUAAUUGUUCACCUUAAUCCGAUCGCGUUUGAUUGUUUGCUGAUGUAAUGGCUUGCUUUGGUGGCUAUUGCUCAUUCCUAUGGCUUUGAAUCCUCCUUUUCGUGUUUAGUAAUGGAGGCCUGAUUGAAGUGUAGGUUUUUCCUGAGCAGUUCAACUCGGACUUUAGAUUGAUCGGCUUUGGGGUGAACUGUGACUCUCGUUCAAGUGUACUAAGAUUGUUGAAAGCUUUGGCUCAUUUGGAGCUAUUGCUCUUGUUGCAUGUAAACCUAUUGGAAAAACAUUUGUUAAGGACCCUUCAGCUGUAUCAAGCCCUUUCUCAAGAAUCGUAAGAGAUUUCAUAGCAGCCACACUUGGUUUUGAUUUUGCCCAGGCCCUGUUUUCACGAUCCACAUUGGGGAGAGUUGUACAAGUAUUUCAUCUUCUAAAUGUUUAUUAACUACUGGAUUAUUAUCUACUUCUUUAGGGAUUUUGAAGAAGAUCGUGAUGUUGAAGUACUUGAAGCCACGGUUUUACCACCACUUGCACGGAAGAACCAAGGCCGUUUAUUGAUGAUUUACAUUCAAACUCCUUAAUGAGAGUGAGAUUAUUUAGUUUCCAGGAUUCCCAGUGCUUUGAUCAAAAGUAACAGGGGUUUGUAGUAGAAGCUUAGAAAAUUAUUAUAAGAAGCCAACAUAGUAACAUACAAAGAAGAUAAGGGUUUCUCAGUGGAUUACUGCAAAGUUUAGCAACACUUGUUUAAAAAUUACAAAACCUCAGCCGAGAAUAAACAAAUUCAUACAAGACUUGUUUAUGAAUCAAGCUGAGCAUACCAGACACCAGUGAUCUUGACAUCCUUUGGAGUCUUGGCACCCAAGUCAGUGUCAGAUGGCUGAAGGCUCUCGAACACACCGAUAACUUCACCGGUCUCCGGCUUGCUCUUUGUGACGCUCAAGGUGAUUUUCCCUGAUGAAGAUGCAGCACUCUUGUUGUUCUCCUUGGCUAGCUCUUCCUCAUCCCCUCUUCCUCCAGCAGGCAAGGCCACUGCAUUAUCGUACCCGGUUGAGCCACCCCUUCCCUUUGGGUCCAAGAAAGAUGAGCCACGGUAGGAUGGUACAAGGAAGUCUCCUCCAAAGCUAUCAGGUUUGCCUGAUGCAACCAAUUGCUUGAUGGUGAACAGGAAAGGCACACGCUCACCACCAGGAAGCUGAACUGUGACGGCAGCAUAAUCAAUCCCAUCUUUCUCCUCGAAUUUGACGGUGCCAUCGGUGGAUACCUCGAAAGGGCCCUCGAUUUCGUCAAGGGUGUAGGUUAAACGGGUCAUGAGCUUGGUGUUUUGGAACUCAGGAGGGGCAUUCUUGUUAACACCCUCAGCCUUGACAGUGAAGGAAGUGGGCUCCAAGCAGAACUUCUUGGCGUAGUAUUUGCCAGGCUUGAAGGCAAAAGAGUCGACACCACCAUCGAUGGUUGGGCACUGGUUAGCAGUUCCUGUUCCUUUGACUUCCAUGUAUGUCUUGCUUUGGAUUUCAUCGUAGGUUAGCCGCUUUGGAACUCCUUCAGCGCUUGCUCCCUUCAAAACAAACCAGUCAUUGUAACAUAUUUGUUCAGAUCACGGAUCAUAUAUGAUCCUUAUGUAUGCAAUCAACGAUACUUGGUUCAAAUAAAAAAUCCAAAUGAUAAAGUUACAACACCAUGCAAGCUCAUUAAGAAUCCUACCUAAGCUACAUAAAAAUAAAUACAGAAAUUUGAAGCAAGUGAGAGGCGAGAAGUAAAUACCGAGACAACAAGAGCAGAUGUAGCAAGAGCGAAACCAGCGAGCUUGGUAGCAUCAACACACUUCUGAGCCAAGUCCUUGAGGUCAGUUUGCAAAGAGCAGGUGAGCCUAGCACCAACAGGCUCCAAACCGAAGGCCUUAGAAACGCUCUGGGAGGACCUGAGCAGCACAUUGGUCCUUGAUGGUGCAGCAACCUUGAUUGGUUGCAUCAGGGUAGCUGCAGCUUGAAGUGAGACCGACAUUGUUACGAACUAUUGGAAAACAAAGAAGAGAGAGUUGUUUUAGUGAGAGCGUAGGGGAAAUUUAGGGGCCAAUUAUGUUGGUGGCAAUGGUGAGAGUAAAGAUAAGGGGAUAGGAUAUGGGAAGUUCCCAUUGGUGGAUGAAGGUAAUGUGUUUGGUUUCAGGGUAUGACACGUGGAGAUUUUGUGAAAUGGGAUAAAAAUGGGUGUUAGUCAGAGUGGAUGAUGUGAGGGACUACAGAUUUUCUUAAAGUUAGUUCUGCCAUACAAAUUCCGGUGGUUGCCCUUCCUCCACUGGGGCCAUCAUGCUCAGAGAGUACUUUGAGUUGGAAAUCAUUUGGUUAACAUAUGCUGUUACUCCCUAUAUUUUGAUACAAUUUGAGAUUUAGUCUUUGUACUUAAAAAAUUUUAAAAAUUAAAUCCUACUUUUUUUUCUUAAAAAUCUCAGUGCAAUCAUCAAAAUCACAAGUACUUUCUGUCAAAAUAUUUUAAUUUUUCGUAAGUAUUUUUUUGUCAAAUUUUGUUAACUUGAAAUUCUAAUUAGGUUUUUCUCAUAUGAUUGAUAGAAAAUAAAUAUAUUAAGUCGACAAAUUUUGAUAGAAACUACCAACAAAGAUAAUAAUUGAACUAGGAUUUUUAAAUUGAAAAAUUAGAAUGAUUGAUUUUUUUUACAUUUUAAGUAUAGGGACAAAAUUUUAAAUCCUACACAAGUACAGGGACCAAAUAAAUUUCAUCAGCUUCUGUCGUGUUUGGGUUCCGACUGGGAUGUAAAAAGUGUCCAAAGUAGCAAGCCCAACCCAAACUAGAAGAGAAGUAAAAUCAUAAAAUAAUGAUAAUGGCCCAUCCAGGAAAUUCGCGUUAUUAGCACGACGCUCUAACCAGCUGAGCUAAUAGGCCUUGAUGGCAAAUGAGAUUUUAUUAUAUAAAUCAAGAGGCUACAGGAUUUCGUAUAACAGUUCAAUAAUUCAUACACGUGGAAAGACAGAUUCGUCAUUGACGAUUAUCAACGAGAAUUGACAGUGUUUGUGGGAAAACCAGUCUAAAAUAACCAACCCCUUUCUUUAUUCCUCUGCUUAAUUUAUUCAUAUAUUAGCCCUAUCAUUUCUCUUAAGGCAGCACCCUCUGACAUCUGGCAUGCAUCCACAGCAUUUAUGAAGAUUGCUGGUUACCUGCAAAACAAAACUUUAAAGUUGUUUCAUAUUCAUAUUCAACCAAAAACAUCAAGCUUGGCUUUUUUGUCCCUAGCUCGCUUAUCAUGAUCAUCAUCUUUCCUUUCGCUUUUUCGAAACAACAGGUUUAAAUGUCAACAAAUAAAAAUACCCAUUUUCCCAAUAUGUUGUAGUUGGGUAUUGAAGUAAAGAUUAGACGACCUCAAAGAGCAACUAAAACUAUGACAAGUAACCUCAUACACCAAAAAGUCAAAGAAAAACUAUAACCUGAAACUGGGGUUGCAGGUUGCUGAUUAUUGUUGUUGUUUGUCGCAUUAGUUGUGGAUGGGAUGACAACGCCAGGCCAUGAUCGGCACAUGCAGUGUUUUCCCACAUCUAUGCUGGCAUAGAGGGUGGAUAGAUGUUUCCCACAACCACCCCAAGUGUACUUUCCACAUUGCCUGCAAUCCACCCUGUAACAUAUUCUUUAGGAAUUUCUUCGCUGGCAAGAUUUUUAAAUCUUGUACUGAUAUUUGAUGUUGCUUCACAUCUCUUUAUCCUUCUCCUUUUUCAGUCUUUAUAAUGAAACCUUUGCUUUGAUGUAAUCGAACACAUUGUUGCAUAAUUAGCUAAAUAGUAAAAUAGAAACUUUGCCUGCUUAUCUUCUUGUUUGUAUCGCUUUGCCUAGUUAUAUUCCUGUCGUCCUAUUCACUCGCAACUAUCCUUUCCGCCCCUGUUUUCAUAAUAAUAAUAAUAAUUGUUGAUAGAUAUGUCAAUGCAUUAAAAAAGGUUGGCACUGUUUAAGAUUCACCAAUAGCAACAUAAAAGGAUAAAUGCAUGUGGCAAUACAAAAAUUCCAAUCAGGCUUUUAAAAGUAGGGAAAUGAUUAUAUCUAACCAUUGAUGUACCGCAAUUACAUAUUAGAUACACUACUAGAUGAGAGCUUUGCACGAAAAUGGUAAGAGUUUUUCAGAAGCAUAUUACAGCAGAAUAUAUCAAUUAUGAAUACAGGCAACCAAAACUGUAGUUUGCUACUACAGAUGGUAAGCUUCAACGGCAGACCCCGAUAACUACUAGUUAGGCAUUAUCAAAAUCUAGGACCCAAAAUCAGGAGGCACUGAUGCCGCCUCCCUCAGAUUAUGGGUCAAUUGUAGGUUUCUUUAUUGAGCUCGAUUCUACGGCACCUGCACUCAUCAAAACACGCUUCACUCCUCUUCCUACGAUGCCAAGACGAGUGACCGCCAUGGCCCCAUUUGUAUGAGCAGUGGAAACAGUUGGAGAGUCAAAAUGAUCUACGUUGCUGUUAGCAGGAGACAUAUGUGAAGAGUUCACUGCAGCAGGAGAUGCAUUAUUCUCACCGCCCCUUGACUUGCCAGAUGCCAUUCCCUGGAUUUCUGCAAUAAUUGACUUUGGGUCGGAGAUCAGCUGCUCUAGAUCUUCAAGCUACAAAUAUGAAAAUAGACAGAAUAAUAAAGUAUGUUUUACAUCAUUAUUAUUUAGUUCAAAUAGAUCAUCAAAAUUGCACUUGCCUUCUUUUCCAGGUCUUCAGCAAGUCCAACAAGAUUGUCAAUUUCUGAUUCUUUAUCUUUGACAGAUAGAACAGUCGGAGAGCCCUUAGACAGUUGUUCACCGUCACCCAAUUCAGAGGCAGCUGAAGAUGAUGCUAAUCCAGUGGAAAUCAUUAUCUCAUUCGUGAGCAGUUGCACCCGAGACUUGCAAACUGAGAUGGCCUUCUGACCGUAUGGAAUUGCUUCUUUGGGGUUUGAGCCAAUCUCCAAACACGUACAAAUCCGAAAAUUCCUAAAUUAUAGAGUUAAGCAGCAAAUAUAAAAACUAAAUGACAUUGAAGGGUUGACUUAAGGAGAUCCACAUUUCUUCAACUGACCAAGAUACCGCAUUAUUUAAUUGAACCUGGGACAAUCGAAGAAACAAAGAUAUUUCAACCUUAACAAGGAUACUGUUCAGCUAUUUGCCGGUGAUCUGGUUCAACCAGCUGUUGCAAAAUGGAUAGAGCUUUCUGGUAAUUGCCAAGUGAAGAUUCAAUGUCCUCUAAAGAAGCAUAACAGGAAAAAACAUGGAUGCUUCAAUAAAAACUGGUAAAGAGGGUUCCUCCCCCCCACCUCAACAAAGCAUACACAAGCUACAACGAGCAGUCAAGUACUGACCCCUUUCCAAGUCAACUUCAGCCAAUGCAGAUAAAAUAUCCACUUUCUCCAUGGUGUCACCCAACUGCUGUUUUUCAGCAAUUGCCCUCGCAGUAUCUAGCAUUUUCCAUGCCAAAUCCAAAUCCAAUUCCGAUUCAUCCAUGUCCUCAUUUGCUUCAGCUUCAAUCACAUCAUCAGUGUCGCUAUCGUCACUAUCCUGUCUUUUUCACCUGAAACACAGAACGAAAUCCAACUGAAUGUGUAAAAGAACAGUUAACAAUUUAGUUUAUGAACUAUAACAUUGAUCGUGGAGCAGCUGUUAUGCACAAUUCACAACAAUGUGAACGAAAAUGAAAGAGAUUCAACUACACUGCUCAAUUCAACUAGAGGUAAAUAAUCCCCUCAGAAUACAUACUGCCAUCCUGUUCCGAAUUGCUUCAUACAGAAGCAACUGAAGAUUCCCGAGUUACAGCACUUUUGGUCGGCCCCUCUUUGUUCGAGUCUUGCAGAAUCUCACCAUCCUUUUCCGGAACAGAAACCAGAGGACCAGUCUCCUCUUGAGCCUUGCACAGCAAUGCGCGUCCAUACAGAUAGUACACGUUGAGACAUGCGACUGCAAGUUCACCGUGAUGCAAACCCCUAGUAUGAAAAAACCUUAAAUGGUUAAAUGUAACUUCAACUACAAAUGGCAAUUCACUAAACCUCUGUUUGAUGGGUUUUUUCCCCUAAUUGCACUUUGAAACUAUCUUAAUUACUUCACAUAACAUAAAUUAUAAUAAUGCAAGUUAAUGAAAAAAGUUAAAAUUUUUAUUUUUCUUAAAAGAAAGGGAAAAAAAAAGGGGGUAAAACCAAACCCUGAAUCAUAGAUUUAGUUUAUUUCCUCAUAAAUUAAAUAAAAAAUGGAAAAGAGAUCAGAUGAAGCAGAAAGCACAAGGUUUAAACCUGAUUUCAAGGGCACGGCGAAAAAAAUGGGCAGCUUGGGUGAAAUCGUUUUCUUUAAAAGCCUUGGAUCCUUUCUCCGUCAACUCAUCUGCCAACUCCAGCGCCUUCGCUCGGCCAAUAUCCGGAGCAAUUCCACAGCUUUCAGUGUUGUUCUCAUUAUUGCAUGUAGACUCGGUACCUCCACGAACCGCAGAUUCGAUAGUGGCUUCUUUUGAACCUUGCACUUCUAGGGUUUCCACCUUUUUCGGUUCUGGGGUUGGCUCCGUCAUCGUCACCGGACACCGCCGUAACUUCUUCUUCAGCCAUCACUUUUUUGCUUUAAUAUUUACCGAAAAAUACAAAAGUAUGGAUAACCGAAAACAGGUCUUAGGCUUUCUCUUGCCCGCCUUCCAGAAAUCCUUUCUGGCGGAAAAUCGAGGUUUGAAAGGAAAGACUGAAACCUUGAACGACAAGCUUUGAAGGAGAGAAGUGGAGGAAGGGUACUUUCGUAAUUGAAAGGAAAAAGGUUUCUUUUUUGUCAAAUUAUUAUCAGUGUCAGACGAUUCUGUCAUUUUGAUUUCGAAAGGUAAGGCUCUGAGGAAAUGAAAGCAAAAAAUGGCUUCCACAACUCUUUCUCUCAGUCCGCUGUAUGUUUUUAUAUAUAAUAUAAUGCUUGCUGGAAUUAUAGAAUCUUGUUGAUGGCAUAUAUUUAAGAUGAUAAAAGGGAGCUGAUAAGAUAACAAUCUUCCAAACAAAACGAUUAUAGUAUUGUAAUCACUUUACUAAUCGAAUUAAAACACUUUCUGGGUUUCAACAUUGAUUAACAUUUUACGAAAAGAAAAGAAAAUUUUUAUAGGAUGAAUAGUAUUCACAAAGCAGUUGUUGUUCAGGUCUCAUCAUUCUCGCCGAGAUGAAUUACCCAACAAGCUGUUUGUUGAAGGUGAGCUCUGUCCACUUGACCAAUGAUCUUGUACUGAUAUAGGAGACCUAUUUUUUACUUCUUCUAAUGAGGUGGUUAAACAUUCUCCUUCCCUUUGCUUCAACUUCAUCAGUCUCCGGCUUCCCACAUCGGACAUCUUUGUUGACUUGUUGAAUGAUUUCUCACUUUCUUCAUCUGAGGAAGCUGCAGGAGACUCUAUGCACAUGCCUGGAACCCAAGCGCUGAGUCUGAUGUGUUCUAGCUCUUCCGCGACUUCGAUCAUGGUUGGCCUCAUGUCCCGAUGAGGAGCGAGGCAUCUAAAUGCUAGCUCAGCCACAUUAUGAAUUGAUGAAAGUGUCCAAGCAUCUCUAUGUGGAUCAAGGUAUGGAUCAAUUAUCUCAUCCACGCAGCCUCUUCCUAUCCUAUCGAUAGCAAGUGCAGCUAAGUUUACCUCAUUAUGAGCGCGUGAAAAGUCAACCACUUUCAGCGCAGUUAUUAUCUCCACAAGAACCACCCCAAAACUGUAUACAUCACUUUUAUCUGAAAGAUGGAAGUAUUGAUGGUAUUGAGGAUCAAGAUACCCUGGUGUUCCUUGAGGGGCAGUUGAGAUGUGGGAUGAUUCAGCCAUCCCAAGCCUGGAAAGACCAAAAUCAGCUACCUUUGAUCUAUAGUUGUAAUCCAAGAGAAUAUUGCUAGACUUAAUAUCUCGGUGAAAAAUAGGCGGAUUCACGGAGUGAAGAUAGGCAAUAGCCUUAGCAGUUUCAGCAGCUAUGGUGAGCCUUACUGUCCAUGGAAGUCCUGAACCCCUCUCUCUUUGUAGAUGCUGUGAUAAAGUUCCAUUAGGCAUAAACUCAUAGACCAGCAUAGGUUCACCCUCCUCCAUGCAGCAACCUAAGAGGCGAACAAGAUUUGGGUGACUGACCGAGGAAAGGAGCUUAAUCUCAUUCAUUACUUGGUCAAUACUAUCAGGAUCUCUAUAUCUGAACCUUUUUAUGGCAACCCAGUCAUCGCUGUGGAGUUUCCCUGCAUAAACUGUACCAUAGGCUCCAGUUCCCAGUCUCUGUUUAUCACAGAAGCCAUUAGUAGCUCUUUCAAUUUCUCUAUAGGCAUAGCAAGGAACACUUGAAUUGCCUGCGGCUUCGGAUAUAAGGCGCUUUGCACUCAUCUGUUUGUUGAUGUUAUUAGAACGCCUUCGCAAAUAGAAACAUACAAGAGCCACAAUACCCAUUAGCAAUGCCCCACCAACAAGCCCUAAGAAAUUAAACAAACAACGUGGUCCAUUAGUUACUUAGAGAAGAGAACACAGAAUCUGUAAGAGGGAUGGAUGAUGAACACAUUAAUACAAUUAUUUUGAAUUACAGCCAAAUUACCUCCAACCAGAACACCAACUCUUGUAGUUCCCCCGCAAUUGCCAGAAAUGUAUUUUGAAGCAUUGCAGCUAGGCACUGAUUAAUGUUGCAUUCAGAAACAUAUUGUCAAAAACUAUAGGCAUGAAACCGAUAAAAUAUGCAAAAGUCGACUUUCCAAUAGACAAGCACCGAUCAGAAUCAAGAAGACAUUUGUGUAUUUGUUGCUAAAAUAUUUUCAUAAAUGUAGUGCAUAGUUGAUAGGAAGAUCCUUCCAACAAGUUGGUUUACCAAAGAAGUUAAAUUUCGGCCAUAUUUCCUAAAUUACAAAUCUUUAUAUUUUAGGAGGUAUGAAUUACCAUAUCCAAAUCUACUUUUAUGCAUGCCCUUAACUUCCACGAGGGAGCCAAGUCAAAUAUCAGACAAAGAUGUAAGGCAGAACAGUACAUUGUGCCCAAGAAUGGAAAACUCCAUUAGUUUUACCAAGUCAACAACGCUGUUUUUUGUUGACGUUGACCUCAUUGUUGCCUUUCUUGAAGAGGCUUAGAAUUAUGGAUUAUGAUGAAGGUGAGCGAUCAGUUGGCCCUCACAGCCAAUUUUAGCCACCAUUGAGGUUGAACAUUCAUGACACGCAUUACCGGUAAAAAUAAGUUUCAUCCUUUUGGUGCAAUUCAACCACUAAAUAAGAUGCAACUUUACAAGCAGAAACUCUUGAUCUUGGUUCGUAGUAAUGCCAAAAUUUGAUGAACCAUAGUGCAAAAGCAUCAAAUUGUAUAUGAUUUCACCAAGAGAUCAACUCCUACAAUUCUACGCCAUUUUCUUUUCAAAUGUAGUUAAACUGUUAAAGCUACCAUUUCUAGAGAAACAUUACUAGUCAAGAAUCCCACAAUAAUUUUGCUCUAAAAUCCAAGUCAAAAAAAAAAAAAAAACAAACCCGACAAAAUAAAAUAACAAGUAAAACAAAAUCUUAGACUUGGAAGCGUUGACUAACCUCUCCGGCAACCACCGCCUUCUUUGAAUCCAUCUCCUUCAAACCCUUCCUUGCAAAAACACUUACACCCCACCGUCUUGUUACCAUUCUUGACGUCCGUACGGUUAGCGUUUGGGUCGCAAUUACAGUCUUUAACCCACCAUUCCAAUUUAACUCGUUCCAAAUCCACAGAGACCGCUGAGUUCCUCGCCGGGUCAACUACAAUAGCGGUCGAGGAAAACAAGAAACGGCACUGCGUUUUAUUAACUUCCUCGAAACUCAACAGCCGGACGCCGUCACCACCGCUGGAGAAACAGCUUAUGUUGUCACUCCUAGCAGCGCAAGGGCCAGCUUGAAACGACCUUUCUAGAAACAUUGGCCUGAUUUCACAAGGACCUGGUAAGGGGUUGGAACAGUUUUGGAGAAGGAGAGUGUUGUCCACCGAGAGCGCGUAGUUCUCACCGGAGAGAACGGCGAGUGAAGCAAGCGGUCGGUAGCAUUUGGCGGGCAGGUCGAUGAUGAUGUCGUUGGAAGUUAUGUUGAGGACAUGGAAUUCUCCAAUUCCGACCCCGGUCGAGUUGCAGUUGAGUUGGAUGGGGCAACCCGGUGUGAACCCGAAUGGAAAGGGUAUGGGGCUUGAGAAAUUGCUGGUUUCGCAGGAGCCUUGGCACUUGUUGUUCUCCGAGUUAACUGAGUUUGCUCGGUAGAUAACAAAAAGAAAUGUUAUGGUUAUUGAGAAGGGUAAUUUUGCAUAGCACGACAUCAUUUUCGAUUCUCAAAGAACAAAACAGAGCAACAUCAGCUUCCUACAAAAAAGAAAAACAAGCUUGAAUAAGAGGAACAGAGUAAAAAGUAAAAUAUGUAGGUAUUGAAAAAAAAAGAGGGAGUUAUUGAAGGGGGGGGAGGGAGUUAAAGCAGAUCGAUUGAUGGCGUUGGGAAGUCCAUCAAAACUCAAUAAAUGCUAAUACAAAGAAAGGUCAAUGCAUUGUAAAUUCGGGAAAUUUCUUUCAAAAAGGAAAUUUUUAAUGAAUGGGCUUGGUUUAGUUGAGAAUAUUUAUGAGCUUACCUUGUUAUUGUUUCUUCUUCAAUGGCUGCAACAAUUGCCUCUUCUUUAUUCCAAUAACAGAGCUUCAAAUAAAUAUCUGAGCUUUGCUAACGCUUCUUUAGAAGUACUUUGAUUUUGGGUUUUUGGUUUUCAUUUCAAAUCAAACAAGAAAAAAAAAAAGAGAGAAUUUUGGAGAAGAAGAGGAAAUGGGAAAUGAGUUGAAAGUUUUUAAAUAUAACACAGAAAGAGUUGUUAAAACUCCAUUGACAAGUGUAUAGUGAAUUAAUUAUUAUGAAAUAACUGUUUUACCCUUUUAAGUUCGGGAGCUGAGGGAAAUGAUUAGACGGAAAUGUCCUUCGAAAAGUAGGUUAAAUUACGGAGAUAGACCAAACCAGAUAUUAUAUUGUGGGUCAGCACCGCACACAAUAAAAAAGAGGGUUUCGAGUUUUGACUAAUAACAUAGAUAUAUAUAUUUUUUAAUAAAUUUAAAUACAAGUAUAAAAACAAUAAUAUUUUAGCAAAUUUUAAAUUGUAUUUUUUAUUUAAUUAAUUUUUAAUUUUAAUUCAUCGAUUAUGUUUUAUUUAUGAUUUAUAUUAUAAACAUUGACGUAGAAUCUUGAAUUUUAAUCCUAUAAAUAAAAACAUAACUCUUAAAACAAUUUUUUUCAAUUAAAAUCCAAUGAAAUUAGUCAACGAGGGCUUAGUAUCAUCAACAAAUGGCGAGACUCUAGGUUUUAAGUGUCUAGAUUCGAAUCUUAUUAUGCACAAUUGUCAUGUGUAAGUAUCUCAAUCUUAACAUGUGUAGUUUUUAUAAGUGGAUUUUGUUAUAUUAUAUUUUGAUUUUUUAUGCAUUUGUAAUUGUAUUGGUUUGAUUAUACACUUCAACUUAGGUUAGUUUUUCUCUGUUUUUCUUAUUUUUAAAUCAUUUUUGUAUUUGGGUGGGUUGGCUUUUUUUUUAUGGUUUGAAACCAUUAAUUUGAGCUAAAGAACAGUUCUACCAGUUCAGAAUUUGUUGGUCAACCCUAAUUCUGAGUUGCUCACUCUAAAACCAAUCUAACCCCUUUAACUAAAUUAAUAUAUUAGUUAAUUCUUGAUUCAAUUCAGUUUUGACAAUAUUACUUUAGGUGCCAACAAGAGGUUUAAUCACGGCUCCCUUACAUAAUUGGCACUCCUUCCUUACUAUAAUAAAGAUAUACUAGAUUAUCACGCACUAGGUGAAAAAUUAUAUAAUAAAUAUAUUUACUAAAAAUGUAUAUAAAAAUAAAAAGAACCUUAAAUGUAAAAAUUAAAUAUUUAAAAUUCGUUGUUUCAGGAGUUCAAAUUUUACUAGGGUUAAAUAUUUAUUGAUUUUAUAUAAAAAUAUAAAAUGAAAAAAAUAUCUUAUAAAAAUUAAGAUUAUUUUAAUAAUCUCGUAACAAAAAAUUAUUAUGAUAAUUUCUCAAUCGAACUCUAUUCAAUUGGCUCGUGACAUUAACUCAUUUAAUAUAAGUAUAGAUAUAAAAUAUUGUUAUAAUAAGUAUGUGGCCUCUUUUUUUCAAUUUAGUGAUACUAUUUAAUUUGUUAUAAAAUAAGUUAUACUGUUUAAUAUAUUAAAAGUGGAUUAGACUUUGAUUUAGCGGUAAAAAUUAAGGUUUUUUUUGGUAAAGGUAGAAACUUUAAUUUAAUUUCAUCUAAUUAUAUUUUAUUUUUAGAUAAGGUUUCAUUACUUUAAUGGUGAUAGGUGAAGGUGAUAAUUGAUUAUAAUUAUAAUUUUAAAAUAUAAAUAAUAAAUCAAAUCAAAUUAAGCUCAAAAUUUUUAUUACAGAAAAACUAAUCCAAAUUGAGGACUUGUCUUUUUCAUUUUUCUAUUUGGAGAAGAAGUCAAGAGGUUUAAAAG
RNAcentral lists this long non-coding RNA (54243 nucleotides) under Gossypium barbadense (sea-island cotton). Its description in RNAcentral is "long non-coding RNA (GBAR_LNC020765)". Lineage: Eukaryota; Viridiplantae; Streptophyta; Magnoliopsida; Malvales; Malvaceae. The record is from RNAcentral.